GGGACUGAAGGAAUGCUUGGCAGAGGGGGCAGUCCUGUUCGCAAUGUGGUAGGAAGUGGAGGAAACGCCCCAGGCCAUAGGAAUGAUGGCCGGGAUGGCGUUGGGAGAUUAAGGAAAGAUGGCAAACUUUGUGUUUGAGGCUGCUACAGAAGGUGACGAGCUGCUACCCCAACAUUGUUAGGAUCGAUCCGAUUAAGCAACAAGUAACAAAAAAUAGCAGAAUAAAUUGAGAAAUUGAACACGCAAAUUUAACGUGGAAAAACCCCUCCAAAGAGGAUAAAAAACCACGAGCAAAGGUAAUUUUACUAUAAUGGCCAAAGAACGAAGAGUACAAAAGAUGGAGACAAAAAACUAAACCCCGAGAAACCCGAAAACAAGGAACCCUCAAAACAUAAAAACAAAAUUCUCUAAAUGUGUUAUGAGUUCUAAUCUCUAAUGGGUGUAUUUUCUAAGGUUGUAAAAGAACCUAUUUAUAGGCUAAAUUAGUAAGUCAAAUAAACUAUGCUAAUAAAUGCUAAAUAUAUUAUACUAAUAAAUACUAAAUCUUCUAGAAAGAAAAUAUAUUUUAUUUAACUUGACUUGCAAGAAAUCUCUUAGAAUUUCGGUCACACAACUCUAACAAUCUCCACCUUGACACAAAUUCUUACAAUGCUAUCUUUGCCAAAGCCUGCCACGAGCCUAUCUUGAACUAUGUAGGGAAUUAACUGAGUCGAAUCUGUGCUAAGAUGUUGGAAGACUUCUAGCCUUCGACUUGUGCACUUCCAAAUCAAAACUAGCCCUAGUCUAAUUUUUACGAACACAGUGCCAUAACUUUUCAAAAACUGCAUCCAAAAGAGAACCUCUCUCCAACAAAACAGUCAUACAUUUUUCCCUCCUAUGACCAAGUUGCCUCCGCUCCAAACGAGUUGACUUCGACUCCGUAACGGACGAGGGACAUCUAAUUUUACCAGUCACUGUAGAACCUUCCAGAAUAUAAAGACUGCCAGUUUUUUUACCUAUUAACAAAACAAGAGCUCCACGAGGUACUUUAAUGUCACUCGACUCAAUGUUGAUUCUGUAUCCUUUCAAGUCUAAAAUAUUCAAGGAGAUGAGAUUCUUUCGUAAAUCAGGUACAUACCUGACAUUUGAGAGUGUCCUAAUUGUCCCAUCAUGUAUCCUAAUUUUAAUAGUACCAAUACCAAUUACCGUACUAGAUGAGUCGUUUCCCAUGCGAACAACUCCACCUUCAACCGAACUAUAUGUGGAGAACUAUUCUCUAUUGGGACACAUGUGGAAAGAACAUCCCGAAUCUAGGAUCCACUCGAACGUGAGCUUGGAAUUAUUGCUUGUUGACACUAACAAGAAAUCAUCACUGCUUUCAUCAGCCAAUUAGCACCAUCUACAUAUUCCUCGUUACUCUGAGUAGUUAUUUUUUUCACAGAUUAUAACAACCUGCUUUGACGUGACCUAACUUUUUUUUACAAUAGUGACACCUUUUGUCUCAUUUCUUUGAUGCUACCAAAACAGAAGCUUGCCUAUCUGCCUUACUAUCCAAACCAAACUCAUUGUCGAGUUUGUCUCUACUUAACAAAUGACCCUUCACAUCUUCGAACGAGAGUUUGUCUCUGCCAUAAAUCAGGGUCUCCCUGAAAGACUUGUAUGAAGGGGGUAAAGAGCACAAUAAUAGCAUAGCUUGAUUUUCAUCGUCAAUAUGAACCUUAACGUUCAUUAAAUCAUUUAAAAGAGUAAUGAAUUUACUGAUGUGAUCUCUAAGAAACUCACCUUUGUUCAUGCUAAACGUGAAUAGACGUUGUUCCAACACUAAACGGUUAGCUAGAGACUUAGUCGGAUAAAGAGUUUCUAACCUUUUCGACAAGUAGAUGAGGUCUUCUCCAUCAACACCUCUUAUAAUAUCGUAUUCGUGAGGCACAACUGGAUUGUAGACAAGGCCUUUUCAUCAAGCUCUUCCCAUACUGUUUGAUUUAGAUUCUCAGGUUUUUUCUCGGUAAGAACCUUUUUCAAUCCAGUUUGAACUAGAAUUACCAUAAUUCAAACUUGCCAUAGAUUAAAAUUUGUCUCACCAUCGAACUUCUCAAUUUCAAACCUUGUUGCUAUCAUCUUUGAAUAGGCUAAUCUAUAAAAAUUACACUAGCUUUGAUACCACUUGUUAGGAUUGACCCGAUUAAGCAACAACUAAUAAAAAUAGAAAAAUAAAUUGAUAAACUGAACACACAAAUUUAACGUGGAAAAACCCCUCCAAAGAGGAUAAAAAACCAAGGGCAAAGAUAUUUUACUAUAAUGGCAAAAGAACGAAGAGUACAAAAGAUGGAGAUAAAAAACUAAACCCCGAAAAACCUAAAAAGAAAGAACCCUCAAAAUAUAAACACAAAAUUCUCUAAAUGUGUUAUGAGUUCUAAUCUCUAAUGGGUGUAUUUGUAACGCUAGGGUUUGUGUAAGUGUACACAGUCGUUAUCAAGUAAUAAGUAAGUAUGGAGUUAUCGUCUCCACAGGGAUUGUAUGUGUGUCGAGGCACUUAAUUUGAAAAAUUAUAUUAACAAUUUGAAAAAAUAAAAACAAAAUAUAGUUGAGAAGUGGUAUAAAUUAGAUGUAAUGAUCCCUAAUGUAAAUUAUCCAAAUAUGCAGACUAUAUGAAUGAAAUAGAUUUUAGCAAAAUUUAACACAAUUUGCAAAAAUUAUAACAUAACUGAACUAGGACAAUUACUUUAAUUAAACUUAAUUUAUUAUCAUCAUGCUUAAUAAUAUUCAAAAAAACAUUUCAUGGCAACUCUAUCUUUCAUGAGUUUGGAAACCAAAUUAGGUCCUUUUGGAAUCCUUUACUCAGUAAAUACGCAUUUUAUUGAUUCCUAUUUACUAAGGGUUUGUUAGCAUUCGUGUGAGGUAACAGGGACGUGUUAGGUUUGAAACAAUUUAAUCACACAAAUCUAAAAACUAUGCAGAUAACAGAGCCUAGUUAGGGUUGUUAUGCAACCUACAAUUUAAUCGGGUUAGGAUCUAAAUUGAGCAUGCACAUUUCAAUUAUGCGUCCAUUAGCCGUCGUCUGGUUAGGAUCGCUCAGCUAAUUCAGGUGUAUUUCAAUCAUGUAUGAACGAAAUACAGACUUGAUUUUAAUUGAAAACAUGAUCGAUUGAGGCACAAACAUUAUAAGCAUGAAUCAAAUAAAUAUUAUUUAAUCAAAACAAUCAUCCUAGCUUAAAUAAAAUUAAGCCAUUAUUGUUGUAAAGAAGAACAAAGAACACAUAGCAAACAUCUUUAUAUUAAAUUAAAGACAAGAAAGAUUAAACCCAAUUUAGAGUGGUUGGCACCCAAGACUCUGACUGACGAGACUCCAUCGCUUCUUCGCGUUGCUCCUUUGCUGAUAGUUCUCCAAUAUGGCCAACCAAGGACUUUUUAAUAGGCUAAUUUGCUAAAAUCCUUAUGCAAGGAUGAUGAUAGGUGUGAGAGCUAAGAGAGUUGAGAGAGAGGAUGAGAGAUGUGAGAGAUGAUGAGAUGAGGGAUGAGGGAUGAUGAGAAAUGAGCUCUUAUUUAUAGGUGAGGCAAGGGAGCUAGUUUGCUAAAAUUAGGAGUGUCGAUCCUUUGAAACCUCCUCCAAGAAUGGUAGGCCAUGAAUUGAGGAAAUGUGGCUGAUUUUUCCUUGAUUUUUGGUCAAUUUUAAUGCCACAACAACUCAGGACUAAGACUCGGUCUCCAACAAAUCUUCAGGUAAAUCUCUAAUUUCUUCAACUCUUCAAAGGCCUUGUAUAAUUAAACCAAAAAUUGGUUUAUAAUCAGCCAUGUGCAGCCAAAAAUUGGGUUGACUUGGUCCUCACUUUCGACAGUUUUGCAAUUAGAAGGAAACUCUCAGACCUGUCAAAGAUAACUACUUUAAUUAAUCAAUUUACUUAAUUAAUUAAACCCAAUUUUAUUAAUGAAAUAUUUACAAUGAAUUAUUAAAAUAUAACAUUAUAUUUUAUUAUUUAAUUUAAUCAUGCGUGGCCCACUUCAUAGCUUAAAAAUAUAAUAUGCUUAAAUUAAUAUAAAAUAAGUCAUUUUAUGCGUGAAAACUAUAUAAUAAAACAUAAAAUCACAUUUUAAUAAUUUCUAUGUCCUAAUUUCAUAUUUUCACAUAUUUCAUUAAUUUAUUAAACAAUUACUUGGUUUUAACAACAAUUUUAAGUAAAAAGGUGAUGAAUUAUAUAGAAAAAUCCUAUAUAUUUUUCCAUUUACACCCCCCAAACUUAAAUCAUUGCUCGUCCCGAGUAAUGUUCAUGCACAACACAAGGUCUUGCUAAGGCAAAUUUUGCUAAGAGUGUUAGUAGCAUCAAUCUUUGUCUCAUAAUCAUGCAUCAACAAAUUCAUGCUCAUAGAUCAUCUUUAUUAGCAAGUAACUCAUAUACAAACAUUUUGAAAAUUUUAUUCUAGGUUUCAAGAUAUGCCAACAUGAAUAAUAGUUUGCAUGUAUGUCAUAGCCAUAGAUAAUAUUCUUCAUUCAACACAAUUUAUCAUGAAUCAAGCAAACAAUCAUAAGGCUUAUUUAUGAUCUUCACAUGUUGAACUUAAUACUUCCUCUCCACUAAUGUAGGUGACAUAAUCAUCAAAUCAAUUGGUCUUUUAUAAGGUUCUAAUGGGGCUUGGUUUAAAGGUAGGGAUUUUAAGAGAUGGGACAUUUCGGUUUAAAAAAUCUUUACCUUUAACUUGUCUUGGAUUUCUCGAAAUUCAACCUUUUUCUUCAAGUGAACCUUUAGAACACCCCCAAACUUAUUUUGAACUCAAGCUCAUACAUUUUCCUUUUUAAAGACUAGGCGAACUUUUCUUCGCUCUUUCUUUGUCUUUGUGAUUUUUUUAAGCAUGAGCACAUACAUCUUUAUGAAAAUUUCCUCAAAUGUUGAUUCCCAAGACACUUAAGUUAAAACAGGUGCACAAAAUUAGGAAAAUUUUAAAAAGAUGGUAACCGGCUUAUAAUGUAGGUUCAUUUCAAAAACAGGCCUUAAAGCUCAAAAUUGUAGUUUCAAGGGUCUAAUAUCAUAAGGUGGGCUUGAAAAGGCUCAAACGAUCCAAAGAAAAAUGGUGUCUAUAUCAUUUUAGAUUUUUAUGUCCCCUAGGAUUUCGCCUCAAGAAAGUUACUAAGUCAAUUCUAAAGAUAUAAACCUUCAUGCAUGUCUGAUCUCAAGAGAAGCUAAGUUUUCACGGCAAACAUUACCUAAGACUAAGAUCAUAAAAACAUUCCAUUCUUCACGAUAACAUACAAUCACUCACAUAAAAUCAUCAUUCAUACUUGCAUACAAGCUAUCUUAUUAAAAAGAAUUUCUCUAAACAUUCAUUUAUUAAAACAUACUUAUGAAAGAAAUGAUUGAAACAUACUUGAAAAUUUUAAAAUUUAAGCAAUUUAUUUGCGUAACCCCCCUUUAAAAAGAAGCAAUGUCCUCAUUGCAAGAACAAAGUAUGAAUGAAACUUGAACACCAGGUAGGGUUGUCGAAACCAUUUUUUAUUUGAUUAACAAAAAUUUAGUAGUCGACUUAAAAAUAAAAAUUGGAGUCACCACCGAUCUUUUAUUGAGGUGUGAUCGGCUCACCUUAAAAAUGAUUUUGGUCUGCAGAAUUUGAGAAAAUAGGUUCGGGACUCGGUUACGUACGAGGAAGUUUUAGCACCCUCGUAACACCCAAAAUUGGUACCGAAUUGAUUAAUUAAUGUCUUAAUGUCGAAUGUUUGAAAAGAUUUUAAAAUACGAUCCUUUGAAAAGAAAAUUUGAAUAAAAUUAAUUGGAUAAUGAGACUCACUUAUUUCAAAGAAAUAAAUUGUCACACUCAGUAAGUUAGAGUGCAACAUCUUAAAUCCUCAAAAUUGAGUUUAUUUUUUUGACUUUUAAAACCUAUGCAUUUUGAGAAUGAUAUCUGAUUAUUUGGGUCAAAUGAAGAGAUCAAAACCCAGCAAGUUAGGGUUCAAUUUCUCAAAAUUCCAAAUACAGAAUAUUGCCUUUAUUUUUAGAAGAAUCCUCAUCUCGAGGAAACAACAUGUCAUACUCAAUACGUUAGGGCACAACGUAUCAAAUUCUCGAGAAUGAGCUUUUUUAUUUAUUUUUAAUUAAAGAGGAUAUUUGGUUUCCUAGAUCCCGAGGAAGAUUGGAAUCCAAUAAGUUAGGACACAAUCUUUUCGAGGAUCCCAAAUUCUGAGUGUCACGUUGUCUUGAAAGACUUUUGUAUAAAUGAUUUUGAUAUUUAAACGAUAUUAGACGUAAUCUUUAAUGUAACACGAUUGAAUGGUAAAGUAUGAGAUAAUUGGUAAUCCGAACACACACUAAAAAAUAAUGACCAAGCAAUAGAUAAAUGUUAACAAGAAUAGCAACAAUAAUUGUAAUCCUAUUAUGCAAACAUCAAUAUUACCAAUUAAACAUCAAACGAAUUAAUAAUCGAUUUUAAAACGUAUACUAAGAAAACAGGGGCAACAAGAGAAAUCAGAAUCAAUAAAUUAUACAUGCCAAAGUCUUGAAAUGAACAAUAUAUAUAUACCAAUACAUAAUAUUUUUCUUUUAAAAUAAUGCCUAAUAAAUCUGAAAUGAUAAUACAUAAUAAAUUUAAAAAUAAAUAUAUAAUAAAUCUAAGCUAAUAAUACAUAAAAAUUUAUGAUGUUAAUAAUAUAUUGUAAUUUAAAAAUAAUACAUAAUGAAAUUUAACGCUAAUAAAUACGAUAGUAAUAUAUAUGAAAAAAAAUUCAAGUGUAGUACAUAAAGUAAUAUGUACAUAUAUAUAUAAAUAGAUAAAUAAAAUAUAAAUAACAUAAUUACAAUAUCAAUAAGGCUAGUGGAGACAAUCAUAAUAAUAAUAAAGAAGAUUAAACUAAUUAAUAAAAAAAACAAAUAACAAAGAGGAUUAAGUUGAGUUUUAAACAAAAUUACAAGGAAAAAAAAAUGAGAAUAAAACAAAACAGAUGGCCAAAAUAUAAUGCACGAAUUACUUGGGGGACCAAGCAGGAAAUACUCCCUUCCCUCAAAACGCGGCGUUUAGAUCAAGACUGAAUUGAAACAAAUUCAAAAUUCAUGAGGGAAAUUUACAAAAAAAAAACAAAAAUGAAAUUAAAAUGAUGGAGUAAAAUGGAGGGAUCGAAGGCGCAAAUAGACCACACAACAAAAAUGCACAGAUCCUCCCCGGGUCGGGUCACCGUGCUAACCAUAAACCACCAAAUGGCGUCGUUUUAGAGCCAUUGGAACCGGCCUUAAACGACGUCGUUUUUUUAGACUAGAUAAAGACCACUUCAAACCCUAAAUUAGAAACCCCUUGCCAUUUUCAAAACUCAAGCCGCAAAACCUAUGUCUCUCUUCGUCGUUCGAACCCCUUCGACUCCGAUUUAGAUGGAAUGAAUAGGAACUCCGAUGACUCCUCCAACGGCAAGAUCCUCUCACAUUCUCUCUUUUUGGAUUUCGUAGAGGAGCAAAAAUAAUUUGCAUUAUAUCAGAAAAUGAAAUCUGCCAUUACUCUUUUAAAAAUCAAUCUAUUAUUAUUUUUUUGUUCAUAAUAAAAAAAUCAAAGAAAUAAAAGAAGAAGAGGAAAAAAAAGGAAAUCGGAGAAUCACCUUCAAAAAAUUUUGCUUUUUUCUUUUUGUAUUGAUAUCAUGUGUGUAAAAAAAAUACAAAGGUUCUUCCCUUUCUUUUAUAGCCGAGAGAAAAAGAAAGAGAAUAAAAUAAAAAUACAUAUCCAUUUUCUUUUUGUUGUAUUGUUUUCGUCCCAUUUGCAGGUGUACGGAGUUGGUGGACAUGGCGUGUACGAAGGAGAAGGUGCAGGCGUACAGAGGCUCGUCACGCGCGAGGGGCUUGGCUGCGGCGCCUGGAUCUUCUAGGGUUUUCGUGUGUUGUUUAGUGUUUUGGGCUCAUUUGGGGUUUGGGUAGAAUUAGAUGUUGGACCUUAAUUGUUUGGUCUAAUUUCUGCCUAGGAUUUCACGGAAGAAGAUAUUUUGCAAGUCUAGUCCCUGAGGAUUUGACCCUACUUCCCUUUUACUAUUCUUUUUCAUUAUUUAUUAGGGAUAGGAUAUUUUUGGUGCUUUCAAUGACCGCAUCAAAUUUUGGCGCCGUUGCCGGGGACUGGCAACGUAUUAAUCUUGUUUUUUGUUUCUUAUGACCAGAUCUGCUCCAGGUACUAUUGAGUUCGGUUCAAAAAUUGAGAAGACUACUAGAGCCAAUCGCAAGGAGACAAAGUUACGGAAAAAGCAGUCAGCGGAGGUUGGAACUCAAAGUAACCCAUCGCCAGAAAUAGAAGUCGACGACGAAGCUGAGUCUAGGGUUAACGAAAACCUUACUCGAACACUUGAAAGCGAAAAAGUAGAAGUCGACUCACCAGAAUAAGUGCUUAACGCUAGGGUUAACGAAAACCUAAAUCUAGCACACCAACCAAUGGCUCAAACGAUUCGGCAACUGGCCGAAGCUCCGACAGAACAAUCGCCAUUGUGCAUCUCGUAUCCUACUAUGGAUACUGAUUUUGAGUUGAAGACAGGUUUAAUCCAGUUAUUGCCAACUUUUCGUGGGUUACAAAAUGAAAAUCCCCACAAGCAUUUGAAAGAAUUUCAUAUGGUUUGUCUUAGCAUGAAACCUCAGGGGGUAACUGAGGAUUAGAUUGAAUUGCGUGCUUUCCCUUUCUCCCUAGCAGAUUCUGCUAAGGAAUGGUUAUUUUAUUUACCCCAUGGAUCUAUUACAACUUUGGCUGAUCUAUCUCGUUUGUUUCUGAACAGGUUUUUACCAGCGUCGCGAGCAGUUGAGCUAAGAAGAGAGAUCGUUGGAAUAAGGCAAAAAGAAGUUGAGUCCCUUUACGAUUAUUGGGAGUGGUUUAAGAAGUUGUGUGCAAGCUACCCACAACAUGGUAUAAUGGAGCAAUCUCUCCUCCAAUACUUUUAUGAAGGUUUGAAGCCUAUGGAGAUGAAUAUGGUAGACGCUGCUAGUGGAGGAGCAUUGGUCAACAUGACUCCCCAACAAGCGAGAGACUUGAUCUCCACGAUGGCUGCAAAUUCUCAGCAGUUUCGAGCUAAUACUGAACCCCCUAGAAGGGUUCACCAGCUAAGUAAUUCAACCUUAGAGGAUAAAGUUGAUAGACUUACUAAUAUGAUGAACUCUCUUAUUGCAGAAAAAGCGAAGACAGCUCGGUUAUGCGGAAUAUGUGCUACACCUAAUCAUGCAACUGAUGCAUGUCCCAGUUUGUAUGAUGAUACCACGGCCCAUCUGGAUGUUAUGGGAAAUUUCCCUGGGCCGCCACAAAGGCAGUACGAACCCUACACUAAUACCUACAACCCAGGGUGGAGGGACCAUCCUAACUUAAGCUAUGGGGCCAAUCCACGAAACAACCAGCCAUACCAAAAUUGGUUUCCGCAACAACCACAAGGUUCAGGUAAUUUUCUAGAAACCAUGGUCAAUAAGUUAGCAGCUAAUGUUCUAGAUUUUCAACAGCAAAAUCUUAAUUUCCAAAAAGAGACGAAGGAUUUCCAACAGAAAAUCGAGGCGUCCAUCAGAGAGUUGACCACAUUAAUCGAGAAAUUGACCUCUCAAGGGAAGCUGCCGUCACAAACAGAACCAAACCCUAGACAAAAUGCAAAUGUAGUGACGUUGCGAAGCGAAAAGGUACUGGAACCAAUUCCUAACAGGAAUCUUGCCCAAGAAAUCACCGAGGAAAAACCCGAAAAAGACGAACAGGUUCGACCGAAGACUCCAUUGCCUAAAAUUCAACCUCCAUUUCCAGAGCGAUUCAACCAGUGUCGAAAAGGUAAAGAGGACAAGAAAAUUCUUGAAACAUUUAGGAAUGUCGAGAUCAAUAUUCCGCUGUUGGACGUCAUCAAGCAAAUACCGCGGUAUGCUAAAUUUCUUAAAGAGCUUUGCACCAAAAAGCAAAAAUUAACAGGUAAUGAAAGGGUGAAUAUUGGAGAGAAUGUAUCCGCAGUGUUACAGCGGAAAAUGCCGGCAAAAUGCAAGGAUAGGGGCAUGUUUGCAAUACCAUGCAAAAUAGGUCAUCUGGGAAUUAAGAAGGCUAUGUGUGAUCUAAGGGCCUCUAUAAAUGUAAUGCCAUAUUCUAUUUAUGAAUCACUUAACGCGGGUUUUUUGACAAAAGCAGGUGUUAUCAUUCAAUUAGCAAACAGGUCUGUUGUGCAUCCAGAAGGAGUUCUUGAGUAUGUUCUGGUAAAAGUUAACGAGCUUAUUUUCCCUGCAGAUUUUUAUGUGAUCAAAAUGGAGGAGGAUAGCAUUCCUGGAUCUUCAGAUCUCCUGUUGGGUCGACCGUUCCUUAGUACAGCUAGUACUAAAAUUGAUGUUCGAAGUGGAACUCUCACGAUGGAGUUUGAUGGGGAGAUCGUAAAGUUUAAUGUCUACGACGCCAUUAGCCAUCCAAGCGAAAUUUUGAGUGUAAAUCGUAUCGACAUAAUUGACUCUUUGGUGGAAGAGAAUUUUGAUUCAAUUUAUGGAGAUAAUUCUGAACUUUAUGAAAUUGAAUUUGUUAAUGAGCUAUUAUCUCCAAAUACUAAACUGUUACCUUCUGUUAUACAGGCGCCAGAGUUGGAGUUGAAACCGCUUCUUGAGCAUCUGAAAUAUGUACUUUUGGGGAAGGGUAAUACCCUAUCAGUCAUAAUCUCCAAUAGACUCUCCACACAUGAAGAGGAAAGUUUGGUUCAUAUACUAAAAAGUCAUAAGGAGGCGAUCGGUUGGACCAUUGCAGACUUAAAAGGGAUAAGCCCUUUGACGUGCACACACAGGAUCUAUUUGGAGGAAGACACGAAACCGAGGCGAGAGGCACAAAGACGGCUAAAUCUGAAUAUGAUGGAGGUAGUACAAAAAGAAAUAAUCAAGCUUCUGGACGCUGACGUAAUUUACCCUAUUUCUGAUAGUAGGUGGGUAAGUCUGGUUCAAGUCGUGCCCAAGAAAACGGGCGUGAUAGUAAAGAAAAUGCUGAAGGUGACUUGGUACCUACCCGAGUACAAAAUGGGUGGCGCGUCUGCAUUGAUUGCAGGAAGUUGAACUCAUACACUAGAAAAGAUUAUUUCCCUCUUCCUUUUAUAGAUCAAAUGCUUGAAAGAUUAGCCGAAAAAACUCACUUUUGUUGUCUUGAUGGAUACUCAGGUUUCUUUCAAAUUCCAGUCACACCGGAGGACCAAGAAAAGACCACUUUUACAUGCACAUUCGGUACAUUUACGCACAGAAGGAUGCCAUUCGGUCUUUGCAAUGUGCGGGCCACCUUCCAAAGAUGCACGAUAAGUAUAUUUUCUGAAUAUGUAGAAAAAAUUAUCGAAGACUUUAUGAAUGAUUUUACUGUAUAUGGGAGUUGUUUUGAUGAAUGCCUUAAAAACCUAACGAUAAUUUUGAGUAGGUGCAUAGAAUUUAAUCUUGUCUUGAAUUAUGAAAAGUGUCAUUUUAUGGUAGACAAGGGUUUAAUUCUGGGUCAUGUUAUUUCAUCUAAAGGAAUUGAGGUCAAUAAGGCCAAAAUUGAUAUUAUAAAUUCUUUGCCUUAUCCCUCCACUGUGAGGGAAGUUUGUUCUUUCCUUGGCCAUGCAGGGUUUUACAAGCGCUUCAUAAAAAACUUCUCGAAGGUAGCUGAACCACUGUGUGAGUUGUUACAGGAGGAUAAGAAAUUUGAGUUUGACCUAAAAUGUAAGGAGGCAUUUGAUACACUCAAGCAAAAGUUAGUUUCCGCUCCUAUAGUGCAACCACCAGAUUGGAAAUACCCAUUUGAAAUUAUGUGCGAUGCCAGCGAGCGCAGUGUAGGAGCUGUGUUGGGGCAAAGGAUAGACAAAGAACCACAUGUCAUAUGUUAUGCCUCGAAAACCCUAGAUGUUGCCAGAGCAACUACACCACUACGGAAAAAGAACUCUUAGCCGUUGUAUUUCCUUUAGAUAAAUUUCGACCUUAUUUAUUGGGAUCUAAACUAAUUACUUUUUCUGAUCAUGCAGCCCUCAGGUACUUGAUCUCGAAGAAAGAAGCAAAACCAAGGCUCAUUAGGUGGAUUUUACUACUCGAAGAAUUUGACAUUGAGAUUCGAGACAAAAGGGGAUGCGAAAAUUUAGUGACUGACCACUUAAGCAGAAUAAAAGUACCUUUUGAUGACAUCCUUAUUAAGGAAGAAUUCCCUGAUAAGAGCCUAUUCUCGACUGAGGCACGUCUCCCAUGGUAUGCAGAUAUAGUAAACUUUCUAGCCACAGGAUCAUUACCCACUGAGUUAGCACGCUCCGUGAGAGACAAGCUUAGACGCGACGCUCGAUAUUAUAUUUGGGAUGACCCAUACUUGUGGAAACACUGUUCAGACCAGAUAAUAUGAAGAUGUGUUCCAGAAACUGAGGUAACUUCUAUCCUUAAUUUUUGUCAUGCUGAAGCUUGCGGAGGUCAUUUUGGCCUAAACGGACCGCUCAUAAGGUGUUAGAAUGUGGGCUAUAUUGGCCCACAAUUUUUCGAGACGCAUAUAACUUUUGUAAGUCUUACGAUAGGUGCCAACAUACAGGUAACAUCACUCCCAUUUAUUUCUUCAAUUGGUAAUGUAUAUAUAAUUCUUACAGUAGACUAUGUUUCUAAGUGGAUAGAAGCAAAGCCUACUCACAAUGGUAAUGCCAAAACUGCUAUGGAGUUUUUAAAGCAAACUGCUAUCGAGCCCUAAUUAGUGAUCGUGGCACCCACAUUUGUAAUAAGGUCAUGGAGGCACUGUUGGCAAAAUACGGAGUCCACCAUCGUAUAGCUACGGCUUACCAUCCCCAAACGAACGGUCAAGCUGAAGUCUUAAACAGGGAAAUCAAGACUAUUUUGGAGAAAAAAGUUUGUCCUAACUGAAAGGAUUGGAGCCUUCGGCUAAAUGACGCACUUUGGGCCUAUCAAACUGCAUAUAAGGGAUCGAUUGGUAUGACCCCGUAUCGACUUAUUUUUGGUAAAGCUUGCCACCUUUCGGUCGAAUUGGAACAUAAAGCCUAUUGGGCCAUUCGACAGUGUAGCAUGGAGUUAGAACCAGUAGGAAAGGCAAGGAAAUUAGACAUCCAAGAGUUAAAAGAAAUUCGCAAUGAUGCCUACGAAAAUGGUCACAUUUAUAAAGACAAAACAAAGUUGUUUCACGAUAAGAGAAUAGCUCAGAAGCAUUUUUCGGUAGGACAAAAAGUUUUACUUUAUAAUUCCGUGUUAAAGUUAUUCCCAGGUAAGCUUCGAUCACGGUGGCAAGGACCUUUUAUUGUUACUAAAGUGUUCACACAUGGAGCAGUUGAAAUAGAGAGUGAAGAAUCUGGAAAGCGGUUCGUAGUCAAUGGCCAGCGGUUAAAGCCAUUUUAUGAGAAUUUUCAAGCCCACACGUUUCAAAAAAUCCAUUUGGAACCACCAUAGAACCAAUAACGGCGUCGAGCUAAUGACAUUAAACAAGCGCUUGUUGGGAGGCAACCCAAUUUUUAUUUUUAUUUUUAUUUUUUUCUUUACUUUAUUUAUUACUUUAUUUUAUUUUAUUUUACUUAUUUGGAUAUUAAUAAUUUUUUCUUCUUUUUCUUAGAUAAAACAGAGCGAAAAUGUGAAGAAAACCGUUGAGCAACGCUUAGAGCGCAUUGAGGCCCGACUUGAAACCUUUUGCCAGCAACUGACCAAACUCAUUGCCAUCAUUUGCGACCGAUAGUAAAAACAUGGGGAGUUUUUCUAAACUUUUCUACCUAUUUAUUUCUUUUCGUCCACAUUGAGGACAAUGUGCUUUCAGUAGGGAGAGGUACUCUUUGUUAUUACUAUCAUUUUCUGCUGUGAUUUUGGUUAUUGUUGCUGGUGUUGCUGGUGUUGCUGCUUGAGACUUUAUUUUGUCCAUAUUUAUUUUUUUUGAAUCUCCUGCCUCUUUUCAUGCCCAAGAUUUUUACCAAGAAUUGCCUACUGUUUGACCUACAAGCAUGAUUCUUUUUUUCUGAGAAAAUUACGAAUUUUCCAUAAUUGAUGCCAUCUCCACUGUUUUAUUCUUAUCAGACUAAAAAUAAUUGUGAUUCAUAAAGUUAACUUUAUCUUGCUUUUCGUAAAAUUGAUCAAGUUUAAAUACAAAGUAGACACUUAAUAUGUUUGCAUGCUAAAAUAUGUUGAUGACUAUUAAGGUAAUUACUAAAACUUAUUUUUGACACUUGAUUAUUUUUUCUCUAAAGUCCUCAUAAAAAAGUUAUUAUUAAAUGUCGUUUAAUGUUUCUGUGGUUAUGAGUGCAGCUUAAAAACGAGACUGACUGAGUAACCGGGGUAGGGUGCUUGGGUUGUCAUCCUAUUUCGCGUCAAAAAGUUGUGUGACGUGUUAGGUAAAACUCCGCUAACCGGAAUUAAUUUUUAAGAACAUGUUGGGCUGAGUAACUGGGGUGGGGUGCUUGGCUGUCAUCUCUCUUUGCGUCAAAAGGUUUGAUGUGUUCGUAAGAAAAAUUAUAAUAAAUUAGGAGUUUGCUGGGCUGAGUAACCGGGGUAGGGUGCUUGGUUGUCAUCUCUCUUCGCGUCAAAAGGUUCAGUAUAUUCCUAAAGCAUAAAAAAAGAGAAAAAAACAAAAAGAAAAAAAAAAUAAUUUGGGGACUAAAGGAGGAAACAAAUAGAGUGUCUUGGUAGGUUUGGUAAUUUACCUAAUUUUCAUUAAAUAAUUCAAGUUGAUUGUAAUUUUUGAGUGUAUUAAUUGGAAAACUUUUUCUGUUUUACUUAAAGCAAGCUUAGGGUUCUCUUUAUUUUUCAUAUGCAUUUUUGAUUGGUUUUUAUAAAACUUUGGAGUUGUAUUUCUUUUAUGGCAGAAUCUAACUUUCACAGUAGAUAGGAACCAUACUUGAGGGCAAGCAUGAGCUAUGUAAGGGGGAUUUGAUAACACUCUAGAAUAAUGUAUUUUUAUGUAUUAAUUAUGUAUUUAUUCUGAGUAUGAUCCUGCUAAUUUGAGCUAUUUAUGAUCUUUUAUCUCAUAGGGACUAAAUUUGAUGCAAAAGCAAAAUUAAGGGCCAAAAGCAUGAAUUUAGAGAUAAAAUGGGCCAAUGUGCGACAUAAGGAAAAGUUGGUGCCAAAAGUGCAAGCAUGGAGGACACAAGGGUUGAAAUGCAAAAAGAAAAGAUUUUAUUCUAUUAAACUCUAUUUUAAUUAUAUUAGGAUAAUUAAUAUUGAGAUAAUUAUUAAGGAUUAUUUUUAGGAUUUUAUUUUAUCUUUAUUUAUCUUCAAUUAAAUGUAUUUAUCUUUUAGGAAUUUAAGUAGGAUUAGAAUAUCUCCCUUAGCACUAUAAAUAGGGGGUGAAGUGACUCAAAAGGGGAUCCCAGAUAUUUUUCUGAAAACACUCUCUCCCAAAAAGUUUAGGCUUUUGUUCUUCUCAUAUUUAUUUUUAAUAAAAUCUUUAUUUCUAUUUAUUUAUUUUCUUUUCUACCACAACCAUGAGCCACUAAACCCAUCUAGCCGAAGGUUGUCAAAAAUCCCCAAAAGGUUUCAUGAAGCUUAGAAUCCGUACUUAGCCUCCUCGCUGAGUAUUCAUCGUUUCUCCCCACUACGGGGCUGACGCUUUCGUCUAUGUCCCUAAAGAAGUAAGCUUUUCAACGUAUGCAAAGGUGGCCGCUUUGUAUGUUUUGGGAAGGUUGCACAGUCGGUUCAUUAGCUUACUGCGUCAGAGGUUGGCGAGCCCAAGAGACAAAAUGGCGUUGGAUUCGCCAUUGAGAAGUGUUGAUCUAGCAUAAGACGAUCCCAUAGAAGCGAUUGUUGGCUAGAGUCAGGUUCCACCACAUCGUAAGUCUAAGUCAUUGGAGCUGGUGGUCGUAGGCGUCCUCUUCCACUAUAACUGGCUUAUUCGGUUUGGGAAGGAUCAUCUAAAAGUCGAGGAUUGAACCCAAGGCAGAACGAGACAACUGGAGGCUGGAAUCUCCCAUAAGAAUUUCCUUUCUCUCAACUCUAUUUAUAAUUUCUCAAAUUUUCGAUUCAAUAUUCUUAAUUCUGUUUUUAUUUUAUUCUUCGUUUCCAAAUCCAAACCUUUAAUUCUGUUAUUUUUUAUUUUUUUCAGGAACGCAGGUUGUCUUGGGCAAGACUCUACUUGGGAUUCCACAUAACAAGAUAUAAUGCAAAUCCAGUCCCUGAGGAUUUCACCCUACUUCCCUUUUACUGUUCUUUUUCAUUAUUUAUUAGGGAUAGAAUUUUUUGGUGCUUUCAACGACCGCAUCAGUGUUGUUUAGUGUUUUGGGCUCAUUUGGGGUUUGGGUAGAAUUAGAUGUUGGACCUUAAUUGUUUGUCUAAUUUUUGGACUGGUGUUUAGUGGGUUUGAGGUUUAAUGUAAUCCGGGCUUGGAUUUUAUUAAAUUUGUAAUACUGGAUUGUAUUGGACUUUUAAUAUAUUUAUUUUAUAUAUAUUUUUUUAUAUUUGGGUUUUAAUACUUGGGUUUGGGUUGAGCAAAAUUUGGGUAUUACAGCUGCCCCUCUUUGCUCGUUAUCGUGUAACGGGAACGGAGCAAAGACUCUAGAAAUGGCCAAUUUUGCCCAGUCAUGUUGGACCUUGGCGCUCUUCUUCUUCGAGUUGCCUCAUUCCAUCCUACUGCAUCUUCAGGAGUAUAGGAAUUGGUGCAUCGAUCCACUCCACCGCAACGUCGGGGAGAUAGGAUUUGUAACUUGUAACUUUAAUCUGCUUAACUGUGAUGUUAGGGAAGCAAGACUCGCUAUUGUAACUUCAAUCUGUUCCAUUACACCACCAGAGAAGUAAGAUUUGUUAUUCUCAGUCUGCGCCGCUGCAACUUCAGGGAGAUAAGACCUGAUGCGAUCCACUCUACUGCAACUUCAGAGAGAUAAGAUCUAUUAUUUUAAUUCGCUCCGCUGCAACCUCAGGGAGAUAAGAUUAGUGGCUUCAAUCUACUCCAGUGUAACCUCAGGAAGGUAAAAUCAGCCACCUUCAGUCUGCCCCACUGCAACUUCAUGGGGAUAAGACUUACUUACUCAGUCUGCUCCACUGCAACCUCAGGGAGAUAAGACUUGAUGCGAUCCACUCUACUGCAACUUUAGAGAGAUAAGAUCUAUUAUUUUAAUCUGCUCCGCUGCAACUUCAGGGAGAUAGGAUUAAUGGCUUCAAUCUGCUCCACUGCAACCUGAAGGAGAUAAGAUUUGCCAUCUUCGAUCUGCUCCACUACUGCUUAGGGAGAUAAGAUCUGUAAUUCUUCAACCUACUCCACUACUGCUUAGGGAGAUAAGGCUUACAAUCUUCAACCUAUUCCACUGUUGUCCCGGGAUAUAGGAUUCAUAAUCUUUAAGCUACUCCACUGCUAUCCAGGGAGAUAGGAUUCACAAUCUUCAACCUACUCUACUGCUGUCCAGGGAGAUAGGAUUCAUAAUCUUUAACCUACUCCAUUACUGUGCAGGGAGAUAGGAUUCACAAUCUUCAACCUAUUCUACUAUUGUCCAGGGAGAUAGGGAUGGGGUCAUCGAUCUACUUUGCUGUCGGUGUAGGAAGGCAAGAUAUGCUAUUUUUAACCUGCUCUGCUGUAACCCAGGGAGGCAAGGCUAGUGUCUUCAAUCUGCUUCACUGUCGGUGCAAGAAGGCGAGAUCUGCUAUUUUCACUGAUCUGUUCUCUGGGGAACAUGACCUGUAUAAUGAACCUAAUUAUGCCUAAUGAUUAGGACGACAUGAUCAAAAUGAAUCAAAUGCUCCUAACUAGACAUGUAUGAAUGGUGUUUGCAUGAAUGCAGAAUUUUAUUUUUUCGAGAAUGAUCCUUCUUUAUCACUUAGGUUAUCAUUACUCAAAGUUGAUUAAAGCUUUAUCACUGACUUGCUAUAACACCUUCGCUCAGUCGGUAUCUCCAAAGGAACACAUAAUCAGAUUGCCCCCACUGUGAACUUCAAAGUUAAUUCCACUAGGACGCAAAAUUUAUGCCAUCUUUCUCGCGCUGUGACCCAAGGGUAGAAAAAUUUGGUUUUUUCUCAAUCCUCUUCUAUCAUAAUUGAAGGCUACAGAAUAUGAAACUCUUUGGUCCUUUACAUUAUGCCUAUGCACAAAUGAAGAAUUCUCUUCUCCAAGAAUAGCUUCCUCUUAUUAUUCAGUGAUCAUUGCUUGCUUGUUCAUGACAUCUCGUCAUUUUGUUUAAUUAGACUCUUCCUUUUCAGAUUUCCAACCUUUAAACUUGGUACGUUCUAAACAUUAGUCCUGUUUCAGGCUCAUGUAUUAUUUAGAAACUUCUAGAGUAAUAUGUAAAACUUCCCUUGUGAAAGUUUUAUUUGUCCAUUAAUCAUUAUCCCAAUGCAACAUGCUUGCAAAAAAGGUCAUAACAAUGGACAAGAAUAAAGUUGGUUCUGAGCAUAGCUCGAAAGGAAUAAAUUACCAAAAAUAGUAAAGAAGGAUAACAAAGAAAUUGAUUGGGAAUGUGUAUCUUGGAAAAGAAUGAAAUAUUCCAAGAACAACAAAUUCAAUAUAAAUAGUAUGAAAAUUGGGUGCCCUAGAUAUCGCAGCUUGAACUUCUCCGUACAAACUUUCUGAAGACCAUUCUGAGUUUGACAUGUGUUUAGGAGAUCUACAGUAUUUUGUCGAUGCCCCAAGAUGUCACCUACCCUUUCCUAUUGAUUCAGGUAUAACAAGAUCACCACAUGCCCCAAUAUGAUCAACAUUUGAGCCACCCUUUUCAGGUUUUUAACUCAAAUUCCCUUUGGCAUAAGGUGCCCUUUGCGGGUUUUCCCCUUAGCCUCUCCAUUUUUACUUUUUCAUUUUUUCAUUUUUCACAUUUUUUUGACUCAAAGUGCCCUUUGCGGGUUUUCACCUUGGUCCUUUCUUAUUCUUUAAACGAAGUAUUUCUUGACUGGAUCUGAGUUUAUAGGAUUUGGCAAGUUUUUACCAUCCAUCUCACUUAGAAUCAAAGUUCCACCAGAAAAGACCUUCUUUACGACAUAAGGACCCUCCCAAUUUGGCAUCCAUUUUCCUCUAAAGUCUUUUUGUAUAGGAAGAAUUUUCUUCAACACCAGAUCCCUUCGUGGAAUUAUUUGGGACGACCCUACUUAUUAUGGGCUCGUAUCAUUUGUUUCUGGUACAUCCGACCUUGAUGAAUAGCUUUUAACCCUUUUCCUAGGUUCAACUGAUCACAUCACGAUUGGAUCCAUUCUGCUUCAUCCAAGUCUAGCUCAACUAAUACCCGGAGAGAGGGGAUUUCAAUAGGUAAAACUACCUCAAUCUCGUAAACCAAAGAGAAAGGUGUUGCCCCAGUACAGAUGUUUGACAAGCAAUGAGGGAAAAUGGUAAUUUCUCAUGCCAGUCCUUGCAAGUCUUAGUCAUUUUUCCUUCAAUUUUCUUGAUAUUUAUCUCUAGGUAAUUCGGUGACGAAUUGUGGUGUCUGAUUUUGGCUUGAUUACGGACCUCAGCUAUCGCGCUAUUGUUCAGGCUCAAUUCAUUAUCCAAUAUAAUCCUCUCUGACGGUCUAUAUCGUCAUAUGAUGACAUUAGUGUAUGGAGCAACCUCUACUAGUUUGAUGAAGUAAUUGAUAUCCUAAAAAAUAAGGCGAUGCACAUUAGAAGCCUUCGACGAUAUUGGCCUAAUGUCAUCCAUGCCCCACUUUGCUCAAAAUUUGAGUCGCCCUUUUCGGGUUUUCAACUCAAAUCCACAUUUGGUCAAAACGCCUUUUGCGAGUUUUCGCCUUGACCUCUCCUUUUUCUUUUCUUUUUCAUUUCAUCAUUUCAUCAUUUUUUUUUGUUUUUAUUUUAAUUAUUUUAUCUUUUUUUUUAUUUUUUGAUUUUGAUUUCUUUUUUUUAUUGAAUCUGAACUCAUAGGAUUAGGCAAGUCAUUGCUAUCCUUUUCGAUCAGAAUCAAUUUUUUUAUAGAUAAAGUCUUCCACCUAAGAUCUUCCACUCUCAUCUUACAUGUGAAAAUCUUAUUUGGCAUCUAAUUUCUUUCUUAGAGCCUUUUGGGGCGCAACUAUGAUAGAAAACUUUGGAUCUUACUCUUUAAUCGGGAUAAAAUCCAAUAAAACUUGAAGAGAUGGAAACGCGACUUCAAACGGGCAAAGCUAUAAUGAGUCAACAAGAAAGGCAUUACCCUGGCAAAGAAUUGCAUCGUUCAUACUGCAAAUUUCUGACAUCGUGCUGUUGUGCAGAUUUCAUUAUCAGCUAUUAACCCGGGCAUAUCCUGGUAUGAUCAUACAAAGACAUCUUUGAACUCUAGAGGUAACUCAACAAGGUCUUGCUUCGUUUUCGCGAUCAGGUCAAUUCUAAUCUUCACCAAGCUCACAAUUCCUAAUGAUUCCUUGUGAGGUAGGAUCUGUCUAUCCUCUUGUUCUACCAUCCUCAACAAGUCCGGAGAUAAGCUACGAUCUAUGUCAUUUUCAAAGUCAUGAGAUCCCUCUAAACACAUGCCUCGCUCAAAAGGAAAAUCUGAGUCUGUAGCAGCGUCAUUCAUAUAAUUGAUAUUGGGGGACCCAUAAUAAGUACCAAAGAAUGUACAAAAGAAUGUAUAAAUUUAUGAAUAAUUAUUUGUACAAUAUGAUUAUGAAUGAAUGAAUGAUGUGGAAGGAAAUUCAAAAGAAUGAAAGAAUAAUUAUUCAAAAAGACUGAAAGAAUAUUGGUUCAAAAAUGAUCACAAUGAUGCAUUUCAUUAAAGUAACAAUGUUCAGACAUGAGCCUAUUUCACAAAGAAGUUCUGAUUGCUUCUAGGCUAAAAGUAACAAGUGCAUUCUGACUAUUACUCUAAGUAAGCUCUAAAUACUAUAGGAAUUUCUUCCGCAGUCCAAUUGCUUAGAACACUCCCAAAUUUAUAAGGACGGAUAUCUAACAAGGUCCCUUCUUCAAUUGUGUCUUCAUACAUGUCAUUGAUUUGAACGCUUCCCAACAUCUCUUCACACAUCGCAUCAAUCAUGAUUGGGUAGAGGGUUUUCUGCACUAGAGUCAUCAAACUUGACAACACCCAUGUUGAUGAGCCUUUAAACAAGCUUUUUAAAGAUGGUGCAAUUUUCUAUCGAAUGCCUCGCAGUUCCUGCAUGAUAAUCACAUUGUGCAUUCACGUCAUACCAUUUGGGGUACGGAGGUUGCAGGGGUUUUAAGUAGGGGAAACAACGUGCGCAUCGAAUAAGCUUUGAUACAGCUCCUUAUACGACAUCAGAAUUGGCAUGAACUGGAGCUUCUUAGUAUUUUGUUUCACACCAGAUUCUUGUCUUGAUGAACCUUGUUGACUAGCAACCACUUUUCUUGGCUGGUUCACCAUAAUCGAUUUGUUGUAUGUGCUUACGUUGUUUACCUCGUUCUCCUUUCUCCUUGCGGCUGACUUUUUGUUACUCUCUCCUGGCUCUAUUUUCCCAUUCCUGAUGGCAUUUUCAAUCAUCUCACCAUUCAUGAUUAUAUCUGAGAAACUCUUUGAGGCACUUCUCAACAUGUGCGUGAUAAAUGGGGCUUUCAGUGUGUUGAUGAAGAGCAUCGUCGUCUCUUUCUCCAAUAGAGGCGGCUGAACCUGGAUAGCGACUUCCCUCCAUCUUUGUGCGUAUUGCCUGAAACUCUCGCUCGAUUUCUUCUCCAUGUUUUGUAACGUAAUCCUAUCAGGGGUCGUAUCAGUUACAUGACUGUACUAUUUUAUGAAUGCAUGUGCCAGGUCCCUCCAUGAACCAAUCUUGGUACGGCUCAAUUGAUUGUACCAUUUGGACGCUGCCCCUACCAAACUGUCCUGGAAGCAGUGUAUUAGCAGCUGGUCAUUCUUAACGUAGUCAGUCAUCCUUCUACAGAACAUGGUGAUGUGAGCCUCAGGGCAACUAGUUCCAUUGUUUUUCGAAUUCAGGCAUUUUGAACUUGUAAGGGAGUACUAAGUCCGGAACCAAGCUCAGAUCUUUAGCGUCGAUUCCAUGAUGGCUAUCAGCACUUUCCAAGGCUUUGAAUUUUUCCUCCAACCAUUUACACCUAUCCUCCUAUUGUUUUGGUAGCUCUACGUUUGCCUUUUCUUUUUCAUUCGUUUCGUCAAAAUUGGGAAUAAUAGGGUUAAUUGGGUUAUCUCUUAGGCUUGAACUUGAUCCGUCUUAGAGAUUCACGGGCAUCGAGGCACCAGCUUGGAAUUGUUGAGGCCUAAUUGUAACAGAUGGUCUCAUUGGGUAUAUUUCAGCUUGGGUUUGUGCAUUUGGUGGAGUAAAACCCGGGGGAUAUAACGGAUCCUCAUUAUCUUCUCCAGGAUUGGCCAUAGGGUCCUUUCCCUUAUUUGUUCCUCCCGCCAGUAAUUGAGUUAAUUGAGCCAUCAUAUCUUUUUGAGAUUCCAUCAUCUUUUUCGUCAUAUUUUGUUGAAUUUUUUCUAACUGCUCUUGCAUUCGCACUUGUAACUAUUCUUGCAUAUCCUUUUGCAUUUGCUCCAGCUUCUCUAAUCUUUGAUCCAUUUCUUUAGUUUUGCGACGAGUACCGUAAGGGUGUUUGGUUGAUUGGUUUUCCAGAAUAGCUGAAAUAAAUUUACUCAAUUAGAAUCUUUCAAUGGAUUUUGAUGAUGUCAUGUAAUGUAAAUGCAUGAAAUGAAUGCCUAAAGAGGGGUUGAUUUUGAUUCAAUUACAUUUAGAAAACUUUACUAGAAGACAAAUUUCUUUACAUAAAGCUGUCAGUCUCGCCCUCAUAUUCCAAGAGACAACAUUGAUCCCUUCCUUUAUCCGUGUGCUAAGAUAAACCUUGCGAAUUCUUCAAAAAAUGUGUCUCCUCUAUCUCUUUUUACUUGAUCUUGGUUGCAAUCCGUUGUCUGCCUAUCCUCGUAAUGCUAAUCAGCUCCUUUAAGGAAGUUAGAAUGUCGAUGGCUCUUAGAUAGUCAUCUUGAAUCUUCGGGCCAUGAGGUAAAGUCACGAACUUUUCUUUCACCUUUUUUGUGUUUCUCGGAAUAUAUUCAGGAAGUCGUACUAUUUUCCACUUUAUCAAGAAAUCCGUAUUCCAUGAAAAACUUUCUAAUUUAGUAAUCAGACUCGAAUGAACAUCUCUUUCCUAAGAUGCAAAUGCAAUGCAAUCAUAGUCAAAGCAAAACAAAACGAGUUAGUACAAACUAAAAGCAAACAAAAGAAUACCUAGUCAGGAAACCACUAGGGGUUUGGAGUAGUCCUACCUAAGGUGGGCAUCUAAGGUCUUCUACAUGCGGUUUGGUUCUAAAGUUGAGGUACCCAAACCAGCAGAUUCCUCGAUCCUCACCCAUUAUAGGCUCAUACAGAUCGAGUUUGGUUUAGGGGAAUACAUUCCCCUAUGGCUGCACGGAGAUGAAAAACUCACGAAGACAUAGGUACGGAUGUAUUCCGAAAGUUAUCCACUAUCCUGCACGGAGGUGAAAACCUCACGAAGAAGUAGUUUCUCACUUCCAUUUAAAAGGUAAGACUAAACAAUCUUUAUGCAAUAUGAUGCCAAAAUAUAAAACUCAGUCCGUAGUAAUCAAUCACAAACAAAUGCAAUGAGAGGAUCGUAAUUUUUCAAAUCAAAUUUUCAAUUUUCGAUAAUAAGACAGAAAAUAAUCAAUUUUACGGCUUGACUCUCUAAAGUCCCCAGUGGAGUCGCCAAGCUGUCGAAACCAUUUUUUUUAAAAACAAAAAUUUAGUAGUCGACUUAAAAAUGGAAAUUUGAGUUGCCACCGAUCUUUUAUUGAGGUGUGAUCGACUCACCUUAAAAAAGAUUUUGGUCUGCAGAAUUUGAGAAAACAGGUUCGGGAGUCGGUUACGUACGAGGAAGUGUUAGCACCCUCGUAAUGCCGAAUCUUUGAAAAGAUUUUAAAAUACGAUCCUUUGAAUAUAAAAUUUGAUAAAAUUAAUUGGAUGAUGAGACUCACUUAUUUCAAAGAAAUAAAUUGUCACACUCAGUAAGUUAGAGUGCAACAUCUUAAAUCCUCAAAAUUAAGUUUGUUUUUUUAGCUUUUAAAACCUAUGCAUUUUGAGAAGGAUGUCUGAUUAUUUGGGUCAAAUGAAGAGAUCAAAACCCAGUAAGUUAGGGUCCAAUUUCUCAAAAUUCCAAAUACAGAAUAUUGCCUUUAUUUUUAGAAGAAUCCUCAUCUCGAGGAAACAACAUGUCAUACCCAAUGCGUUAGGGCACAACGUAUCAAAUUCCCGAGAAUAAGCUUUUUUAUUUAUGUUUUAAUUAAAGAGGAUAUUCGGCUUCCGAGAUCCCGAGGAAGAUUGGAAUCCAAUAAGUUAGGACACAAUCUUUUCGAGGAUCCCAAAUUCCAAGUGUCGCGUUGUCUUGAAAGACUUUUGUAUAAAUGAUUUUGAUAUUUAAACGAUAUUAGACGUAAUCUUUAAUGUAACGCGAUUGAAUGGUAAAGUGUGAGAUAAUUGGUAAUCCGAACACACAUUAAAAAAUAAUGACCAAGCAAUAGAUAAAUGUUAACAAGAAUAGCAACAAUAAUUUUAAUCCUAUUAUGCAAACAUCAAUAUUACCAAUUAAACAUCAAACGAAUUAAUAAUCGAUUUUAAAACGUGUACGAAGAAAACAGUGGCAACAAGAGAAAUCACAAUCAAUAAAUUAUACAUGCCAAAGUCUUGAAAUGAACAAUAUAUAUACCAAUACAUAAUAUUUUUCUUUUAAAAUAAUGCCUAAUAAAUCUGAAAUGAUAAUAAAUAAUAAAUUUAAAAAUAAAUAUAUAAUAAAUCUAAGCUAAUAAUACAUAAAAGUUUAUGAUGUUAAUAAUAUAUUGUAAUUUAAAAAUAAUACAUAAUGAAAUUUAACGCUAAUAUAUAUGAUUGUAAUAUAUAUGAAAAAAAAAUUCAAGUGUAGUACGUAAAGUAAUAUGUACAUAUAUACAUAUAAAUAGAUAAAUAAAAUAUAAAUAACAUAAUUACAAUAUCAAUAAGGCUAGUGGAGACAAUGAUAAUAAUAAUAAAGAAGAUUAAACUAAUUAAUAAAAAAACAAAUAACAAAGAGGAUUAAAUUGAGUUUUAAACAAAAUUACAAGGAAAAAAUGAGAAUAAAACAAAAUAGAGGGCCAAAAUAUAAUGUACGAAUUACUUGGGGCACCAAGCAGAAAAUGCUCCCUUCCCUCAAAACGCGGCGUUUAGAUCAAGACUGAAUUGAAAAAAAUUCAAAAUUCAUGCGGGAAAUUUACAAAAAAAAAUGAAAUUAAAAUGAUGGAGUAAAAUGGAGGGACCGAAGGCGCAAAUAGACUACACAACAAAAAUGCGCGGGUCCUCCCCGGGUCGGGUCAUCGUGCUAACCAUAAACCACCAAACAGCGUCAUUUUGGAGCCAUUGGAACCGGGCUUGAACGACGUCGUUUUUCAGACUAUAUAAAGACCAUUUCAAACCCUAAAUCAGAAACCCCUUGCCAUUUUCAAAACUCACGCUGCAAAACCUAUGUCUUUCUUCGUCGUUCGAACCCCUUCGACUCCGAUUUAGACGGAAUGAAUAGGAACUCUGACGACUCCUACAAUGGUAAGAUACUCUCACUUUCUCUCUUUUUGGAUUUCGUAGAGGAGAAAAAAUGAUUUGCAUUAUAUCAGAAAAUGAAAUCUGUCAUUACACUUUUAAAAAUCAAUCUAUUAUUACUCUUUUGUUCAUAAUGAAAUCACCUUCAAAAAAAUUUGCUUUUUUCUUUUUGUAUUGAUAUCGUGUAUGUAAAAAAAAUACAAAGGUUCUUCCCUUUCUUUUAUAGCCAAGAGAAUAAGAAGGAGAAUAAAAUAAAAAUACAAUAUAUCCAUUUUCUUUCUGUUGUGUUGUUUUCGUCCCAUUUGCAGGUGUACGGAGGCGGUGGAUGUGGCGUGUACGGAGGAGAAGGCGCACGCGUACGGAGGCUCAUCACGCGCGAGGGGCUUGGCUUUGGCGCUUGGAUCUUUUAGGGUUUCCAUGUGUUGUUUAGUUUUUUGGGCUCAUUUAGGGUUUGGGUAGAAUUAGAUGUUGGACUUUAAUUGUUUAGGCUAAUUUUUGGACUGGUGUUUAGUGGGUUUGAGGCUUAAUGUAGUCCAGGCUUGGAUUUUAUUAAAUUUGUAAUACUGGACUGUAUUAGACUUUUAUUAUAUUUAUUUUAUAUAUAUUUUUUAUAUUUGGGUUUUAAUACUUGGGUUCGGGUCGGUCAAAUUUGGAUAUUACACAUUCAUUUAUUAAAACAUACUUAUGAAAGAAAUGAUUGAAACAUACUUGAAAAUUUUAAAAUUUGAGCAAUUUAUUUGCCUUACCCCCCUUUAAAAAGAAGCAAUGUCCUCAUUGCAAGAACAAAGUAUGAAUGAAAACUGAACACCAGGUAGGGUUGUAAAGAAAGAGAGGUGAGUCAUUAAGACUUCUUAAAUACCAAGUCUUUCCUAAUAACCCAAUCCUAGACAUGUUCAUUCCCAUUGCCACAUCAUUUAGUCUUUUUCUUUCUAAAGAAGUAUUUAUUCAUGCUUUCUAUGUUUUAUUUUUCAAAAAUUAAAUCCUAAUUACUAAAGAAAUAAAUUCCUAAAGACCUAAAAAAUAAUUAAAUAAAUAACAAAACAAGAAUUCCCUAUUUUAUUUUUCUGACUCAUUCCCCUUGUCUUCUUUAGUUCCAUCUCUGCUUGCAUCGUCUGUAUCUUCCGUUCAUGUCUCAAAGAUAGCAUCUGAGAAUUCAAGAACAAAAGUGUUAGAGAUAUUCAUAAAAGUAUUUCAAAUUGAAUCAUCCCUAAUUUUUGCAUAUUUCCAGUAAGUUUGUUGUUGAUUGUGUAUGAACUUGCACAUAUCCAUCAAAAUUGUCAACUUCAAUUUCUUUGAAGUACUUGCAAGAGUCGGCAUUAGAUUCGUAAAUUAUGGUUCAACACUUAGCUUGACUGGUUCUUCUUCUAGCUCAACCCUUGGUCUUCAGUGUCUGUGUAACGCCCCAAAAAUGUAUAUUUUUGUUUAUAAAAAUAUGACACAAAUAUGUUUCUGCUUCAGUGGUUAAGUGUUCUAGGUCUGUGUAUGAGGUCCCAAGUUCAAGCCAUGCCUUUGGCGAAAUUUUGGAUUUUUUUCUGAUUAAAGCCUUAUCCUUGUUCAGUGGGCUUAAUUUUAAUUAUUUGUAAAACCAUAUCAGAAUGAGCCUACUGGUUCAAGUGGUAAGGCAGUUGGAGUGUUGGAGAUUCCGUGUUUGAAUCUUUGCGCGAGUGAGAAUGUUAAUUGUUUUACUCGAUUUCCUGGAAGAGUUGUGCAGAAGAUGGAUUCUGAGUAGUUGGGAUUUGGGGAGUUUAGCAGGAUUAUUUUUGUUCUUUUUUAUUUUAUUCAUUUCAAAUUUUGUUUCUCUUUCUUUCUCUCCAAAAUUCCGACGUCGACUUUCUUCACUUUUCUUCUUCGAUUUUUCUCGACUUCCUGUUGAAAUUUUCACAGUCAAUCAUCACUCUUGCGUUCAUGGCCCUUUUUCAUCUGGUAAGUGAUCUCUUUUAGUCUUCUUCCUUUGAUUUGGGGUCUAGCGACAUUAUUUAAUCGAUGUAUCCUGUGUUUAUGAAAAGAUCAAGGUGCUGGGGUUUCCGAGUCGGCGCUUUAAAUGUGCAGAUUAAUGUUGCUCGACCUAAGGUAAGAUUUUAGUCGAUUUAAGUGGGUUGUUCAUCACCUUUGGUUCGGUUUAAUGUCAUUCUAAGUGUUUAAUUCUGGGUUUGUUUGGUCAAUAUUAGGUAUUGAAGUGCUUGUGGGCGUAUUUGCAGUGAAACAAUACCAGGUGUGUACCCAAAACACAAAAAUAAGAGAUUCGGCAAAAAGCCAAAAUUGCUUGCUGUUUGGACAGCAGCAGUAGGCUAAAUUUGAAAAAUCACCAUAAAUUGUGAAAAUCAAAUUAGAGGAUCAAAAAAAUAUGGAAUUAAAUAUAUUUGAGUCUAGUUUUUGAUAGAAGAAACAAAGUAAGAAAAUAUUUUCAUGUUAUGGGAUAUUUGAAUUUUAAUGAGACAGGUUCAGAAUGAUUUCAAAAUCCCUUGUCCUGCCUUUGGAAAAUUAUUAAAAAUUUUAUAAAAAUAAUUAUGGGUUAGAAUUUAUAUGUUUAAAAUCUGGAGAAACAAACAAGAACAUCAUCUGAAUUCUGUACGAGAAGAUAAUUAAUUUUUUGUGCAAAAAGGUCGAAACUGUCAGACAGCAGAACAAGGAAAACUUUAAAGAAUAAACUGUACUUAUUGGCUAAACCAAUAAUUCUAAAAAUUUUAUGAUAAGAAAAUAAGUGAGUCUGGUUUCAGAGAAAAUUUUCAGAUCUUAAUUCGAAAUUCUGUAGCUUAAGACACAAAUACUUUAGUUACAGUGACUCAAGUAGACAACUUUGAAGGAUCAUAUAAGUAAAUACUGGAAACACAUAUGAAUAAUUAACUAUCAUCGGUUACAUUAAAAUGGAUCACGAGGCCAACGCCAAUUUGGGUCAUGUGGGCCACAUGGGCAUGUGGGUCCACACGAGCGAACAUCAUGGGCUUGUAGGCCCAUUUUCACUGUUUGAUUGAUAAGGUUGCACAGGUCGCCCAAGUCGUCUGUGAACCUACUGUAGGGUCGGUAAGUUUAUCUAGACCCCUAAUUGACUGAAAUGACUGUAUGACUCAUAUGAUUAAGCCUGAUGACGUUCCACUGAUUUGAUACUGUAUGCCCUGUUUACAUGCAUGAUAUUAUGUUAUAGCAUGUCAUAUCUGUAUAUUGCAUUACAUUGGGUUAGGGGAUUAUAAUGUUCGGAGGAAGUGUAUUGAAAGGCCUCGAGCCUAAUUUACUGGCAGCUUAGCUGCAAACUACUGUCUAGUGCCACAUUCGGUACUACUUGAAGUAUAGGGAUGGGUGGGUUGAUUAUAUCCCUACAUGGAGUGUAGGGUUGGACGGAGAUGGUGUGUAGAGGCUGGAUGAGUAGGAUUUUGGUGACUGCAUAUCUGUUACUGCUACUGAUACUGUGAUAGGCUAAAGCCUUACUUCAUGACUGUUUUUGUACUAAGAUGGGCUAAGGCCCAAACUGAACUGAUACUGAUACUGAUACUGAAAAGGGCUUAAGCCCAGACUAUGAUUAUUUGUUUACUAUCUGUUCAUUUGUAUGGGGAUUACACAUUGAGUUUACGUAAACUCACCCCUUCUGUUUAAUCUGUAUAGGUAAUCCCUAGAUAUAGGCAGAUCAGUGCAGCAGAGGACUCAGUGGUUGCCACACGACUUCUUUUACAUUGUUUACUACUUGUUUAUGAUUUUACUUUUAUUUGGGAGUAUUUUUAUGUAAUUAUGACCUUUACGUAUUUUAAUUUAAAAUUUGGAUUUUAUACGAUUUUAUGAUUUAAAUCUGCUUAGUGUUAGGUAAAACUCAGGUUUUCAAAUGAAAUUAAUGUUUUAUCAAAAAUACAACGAAUAAGCAAACUAUUUAAAAGCUUCCGCAUAGAAUAAACAUUUUGAAAACUUUCGACUGAUUAAUUAACACGACUUUAGAAUUAAUAAGUAAACUGUGAAAAGUUUUUUAACUGAAAAAUGUUUUAAGCAAAGCUACGGUUUUCAAACACUACCAUGUGACAUCGCCAGAUUCGGCCAUAACAUUUAGGUCGGGUUUGGGGUUUUAUAGUCUGUAACUGAAUCAGCUUCAGUUUUAGUUUUAUUUGUUGACUCUUCGGUUUCUGGAUCAAUUGGUUCCUCUUGCUCGCCUUGGUUCAGCUCAUGCACUCUCUCUACUAACCUUUCAAGAUCAUGACUUGUGAUGCACCCUUGGACAUACUGCCCCUUCAGAUUUGCUUGUGUUUUAACACGGGCCCUUAAGCAAAGUGAAGUGAUUAAUGAUUGAAAUUAGCACUUCCUGCCUUUUUUUAGCACAAUCGUGAAUUUUCUUGAGUAUAAUUUUCCCAACUUUAAUGGAAUUUUCUGUCAAAAUUGCAUAUAACAACAGCAUUCAUUACAUCGAGAUGGUGGAACUAUGUUGUCGAAACCUCUUUUAAAUUUAUUUGAAAAACGGGGAUCGACUUUAAAAAAUGAAAAUUGGAGUCGCCACCCAUCUUUAAUGAGGUGUGAUCGGAUCACAUUGAAAAUGAUUUUAGGUCUACGAAUUUUGAGAAAACUGGUUUGAGAGUCGGUUACGCACGAGGAAGGAUUAACACCCUCGUGAUGCCCAAAAUUGGUACCGAAUUGAUUGUUUAAUGUCUUAGUGUCGAAAUUUUGAAAAGAUUUUAAAAUACGAUCCUUUGAAGUUUAAAUUUGAAUAAACCAAAUUGAAUAAUGAGACGCACUCAUUUCGAGGAAAUAAAUUGCCACACUCAGUGAGUUAAGGUGCAGCAAUUCAAUCGUCAAAAUUAAGUAUGUCUUUUUAAUUUUAAAUUUUAAAAUUCAUGUAUCUUGAAAAGGUUAUUUGGUCAUUUAAGUCAAACGAGAAAUCAGAAUCCAAUAAGUUAGGGUUCAAUUUCUCGAAAUUCCUAAACAUCAAACAUUGCCUUUAUUUUAAAAUCCUUAACUCGAAGUAACAAAAUGUCAUAUCCAGUGAGUUAGGAUCCAACAAUUGAAAUUUCGAAAAACUUUAUUUAGAAAUCGUAUGGUUUUAUUGCAAAAGAAAUACUUGGCUAUCUAAAUUCAUCGAAAAAAAUUGAAGCCCAGUAAGUUAGGGCACAAUACUCUCGAGAAUCGGGAAUACCAAGUAUUUUGAGAAUUUACGGAAUAAAAUGAUUUUAGUGCUUUAAUGAAACACAUUUUGUAAACAAAUGUAAUAUGAUUGAAUGGCAAUGUAUGUUGUAAAAGAUAAUCGCAUGAGCAAUAGAUAAAUGCAAACAAGGAUAGCAACAAUGAUUUAAAUCAUAUUAUACAAAUAUCAACAUUAAUAUUAAAACUAGAUAAAUCUAUCAUCAAUUUUAAAAGAUACACCAAGAUGAUAUAAAAUAAUAAAAACAAUAUGUCCUACGCAUAGAAAUUUUAAAAUAAAUUACAUACAUAAACUCAAAAUAGACUUGAAAUAAAAUAAUAAUAACAUUUAAAAAUAGUAUUAAAAAAAUAUUAGGUAAACAUUUAACAUAUAGAUAUACUAAAAUAAAUUUUAAGAUAUAACCUAAAACAAAACAUUAAAAUAUGUACAAAUUAUAUCAGAUUAUUGUAAAAAUAUAUAUAUCAAUAAUAUCGUGUCAGGUUUGAAAAUAAAAAUAUAUAAUGGACCCUUUUUUAAAAAAAAUGUAUGAUAAAUUUAAGACAUGUUAAUUUGGAAUAUUAAAAUAAUAUUAUAAAUAAAAACUAAAUUUGUCAAAAUAAGCUCUAAUUUGAUUUAAAAUUAAACUAAUAAAAGUUUAGUUAAAAUUGAAACACAAUCAAAACAAAAAUAAAACAAAAAUAAAAUAAACUAGAGGAACGAAAAUUAAAUUGAAAUUAAAACAAAACUAAAUAGGCAAUAAACAUAAAUAAAAAUAAAAGAAAGACUAAAUUCGAACUUGAUUUAAAAAUUGAGGGACCACAAUAGCAAAUAAACGCAUACUUUUAAAGAUUUUAAUCUUCUUGAUGGAAACGACGUCGUUUGCUUGCGGAUCAAAAUAGAAUCAGAAUAAAAUGUGCAGUAAGAUUUGAAUACCUUGAAGAGAAACUGAUUUGAAAUAGAAUACAAAGAAAAGGGACCUAAUGCAAACUAAACCAUUUCUCAAGACGCGCAGAUCCUUUCCACAGAUCGGGUCACCGCUCGGGUAUGGCCAACACGUUGUCGUUUUGAAGUCAUGGAAGAAGACUUUAGACGGCGCCGUUUAAAUAAUCUGCAUAAAAUUUAAAAACCUAACUGAUAUUAAACAAUCAUCUAAAAUAAAACUAACAAAAACCUAAUCAAUUCUCUUUCUCUCUUGCGCUGCUCAGCCAACCAACGUUUGGAGGCCCCAAUUCCUCACUCGCCUCCGAUUGCGACGGAGGGAGCAAAAGAUCAACCACCAAGUACACUCUUUGCUUUCUAACCUUCUAUUAUUGUAUUGAAAAGGGAACAAAAGAGUGAAGAACAGAAAAGGAAGAAAAAAAAGAAAAAAAAUCUAUUCACCUUUCAAUUUUUCUGAGUAUUUUUUAUUUUUACAUUCAAUCUCUGUAAAAUGCGUAAAAAAGGGAUCCAUUUUUACAAAUCUUGAUGGCUUUUAUAGCCAAAUUUUCAAAGAUGAAAAGAGAAUAAAAAAUACAAUGUUUUUCCUUUCUCUGCUGCGCUAUUUUCGUCCCAUUUGCAGGUACGGAGGAGUGCAUACGUACGGAGGCGCGGUGACGUGGAGAGGACGCGUGGUGGUAUGGCUCGGCUGUGUACAGAGGCUGGUCACGUGCGGAAGGCUUGGCACGUGGCUAGCGGCGGCUGAGGCAGAUAGUUGUUUUAGGGUUUUGUUUUGAAAAUGUUUUAGGGCUAGGUAUGUGGGUCAAUGGUUUGGGCCUUAUUGGGCCGAUUGGUUAUUGUAAAUGGACUGCUAUUGGACUGUUGUUAAUUGUAAAUGGGCUUUUAAUAUUUUUUGCUUUUAUGUUGGUUUUAUUUAUUUUUUAGUGGGCCUGGGUCAAAAUUGGGCAGUACAUGUGAGAUAGACAUAAAACUGUAGCGAACAAAAUAAAACCAUACCUUUGCUACUGGUUUUAAAUAUUCUCUUCGACAAGAAUGGCUUCUAUACUUUCUUAUAAUCCAUUGGGAUCCCGGAUUUGUCACAACAUUAAGCACUUGUUGAAGAAAAUCUCAUUUGAUAUUAUUCAUCAUAGGGUAGUACUCAUCUUCCUCAACAUCAGGUAAAUUAAACAAAUCAUUGAUGGACUUAGAAGUAAGAGAUACCUUUUUCUUUCAAACGAUGACUUCAGUAGCAUCUUGUGUAGUCAAUCGAGCAUAGAAUUCUAAAACUAGUUCAUCAUCGAGAAGUGAACGAGCAUCAAAGAAUCGUUCCCACUUAGAGCAUUGAUUAUCUUUAUAAUUGGCACAGGGACAACCAUCACAUCAUUGCUCUUCAGGUUAAAACAUUUUUCCGACAUCAUAGGUUGAUGCUUGAAAAUUGAAUCAAAUCGCUCUUUCACUUCUUCAUCGAUCAAAAUCUGGUUUUCAGAAGUAGUUUUUAACGAUCUAGUUCUUUUGCGAGACAUAUUAUUUUCCCAAAAAUUCGGCAAAGUUUUUUCUUGCAGAGGCAAAAGAGGGUGGAUCUUGCUUCGGCAAACCUUGCAAUGGUGAAGGAGUUGUGGCGGUGACAACUACGUGCGGCAGCAAUAGUGGUAUGCGGUGGCGAUAAUGACUGCAUGCGGCAGCAACGUCGAUGCUUCGGCAAUUCUCUUGUGGCGGCACUAGGUAGUUUUAGCCAAAGAAAAGAAAAAGGGCUAGAGAUUCCUUUUGGGAUUAAAGGCUAGCGGCACAAAAAGAGAGAUUUUAAGGAAUUUUAGGGUUUAAGCAAAUUACUUUGAGAGAUAUGAAAAUUUAGUAGAAUGAAUAGGGGUUUAUAUAGGGAAAUAUUAGGGCAACAUGUAGCAAAAAAUUUAGCUAAAUUAAAGUUACUUGGGCGGCAAGUAAUGGGUGUGACGGCAAGGGUUAAAAUUUCCCUCCUUUUUGCUAUCUUAGGCCUCAAACUCCAACUGUAUCUCACUAAAAAAUAACUUAUUAGUACUUGGGCCAAAUUUGACCCCCUUUAUUAACAUAAAAAUUUAAAAUUUAACAAAAUAAUUUAAACUAGAAAAAGAUUUUAAAACCUAAUUAGAAGAUUUCUUCUUAACAAAUUACAUUAAAUUAAUUCCCAGGAAAGGUUGGAGGGGUCACAGCGGUCCCGCUUAAGUUCCAAUCUCCUUAGACAGAAUUAAUUAAAUGAAAUUAAUUAAGAAAAAUAAAUUCUAAUUAUUUAUUUAUUUACAAGAUGAGUUUAUGAAAAAUCAAGGGUAUGUUAAUUUGAACGAAAAUUCAACUCGCUCAACUUCACCAUCCUAGUAGUGUUUGAGACAUUGACCAUUAACUUUAAACGUACCUCCGUAAUUGUCGUACAAUUCAAUAGCUCCAUAAGGAUAAACUCGGUGGAUGGUAUAAGGUCUUUUCCAUUGGGAUUCCAUCUUCCCAGAAAAUAACUUUAGCAUUAAAUUAAACAAUAACACCUUUUGACCUUCUUUAAACUCGUGAGGUUGUAUAUGACUAUCAUGCCAUCUUUUUUAUCUUUCUUUAUACAUUUUGAAGUUCUAAUAAGAAAGAAACCUUAGCUCUUCCAACUCAUCAAGUUGUAACAUCCUUCUCUCACCGGUUUGCUUAAGAUCAAAAUUUAACUACUUCAAAGCCCAGUGAGCUUUAUUCUCCAAUUCUAAUGGAAAAUGACAUGCCUUUCCAAAGGCUAACCGAUAAGGAGUCAUUCCUAACGGAGUCUUGAAUGUUGUUCGAUAGGCCCAUAAGGCAUCAUCGAGCCUUUGAGACCAAUCUUUUCUGUUAGGGCAUACUACCUUUUCAAAGAUACCUUUGAUUUCACGGUUCACUCUUUCAACUUGUCCAUUAGACUGGGGGUGAUAAGCAGUAGCAAUCUUGUGCUUCACAUCAUAUUUUUCAAGCAACCACUUAAGCCAUUUGUUCACAAAGUGAGAACUUUCAUCACUAAUAAUAGCUCUUGGUAUCCCAAAUCGUGUAAACACAUGCUUAUGUAGGAAUCGCAUGACUACCUUAGCAUCAUUUGUAGGGUAUGCUUCAGCUUCAACCCACUUGGAUACAUAGUUCACAGCAACUAAGAUGUAUUUGUUCCCAUAUGAAGAAGGAAAUGGGCCUAAGAAGUCAAUGCCCCAUAUGUCGAACAAUUCAAUCUCUAAAAUGUUCAAGGGCAUCUCAUUCCUCCUUGAUAUAUUUUCGGUUCCUUGGCACUUAUCACAGUUCUUCACAUAAGUGUAAGCAUCUUUAAAUAGUGUAGACCAAAAGAAACUUGCUUACAAAAUCUUUGCUGCAGUACGUGAACUACCAAAGUGUCCCCCACUUGGAGAUGAAUGGCAAUGAUAUAAGAUCUCAGCAAUCUCACUUUCAUCUACACACUUUCGGAUUAUAUUAUCUGCACACUGUUUAAACAAAAACAGAUCCUCCCAAAAAUAAUACCGACUAUCAUGAAGGAAUUUCUUCUUUUAUUGGUAUGUCAUUUCUCAAGGAAUUAUUCCACAUGCAAGAUAAUUAGAAAAAUCAGCAAACCAAGGUAUUUCAUGAAUUGGAGUUACCUCAAAUAAGUGCUUAUCUGGGAAAUUCUCGUUGAUAGGCACACCAGACUGGGUUACCUUAUCUUGCUUCAACCUCGACAAAUGAUCAGCUACUUGAUUUUCGAUACCUUUUCUAUCUUGGAUCUCGAGGUCAAAUUCUUGGAGUAAAAGUAUCCAACGAAUUAGCAUUGGUUUUGCAUAUUUCUUCGUGAGCAAGUAUUUAAUGGCCGCAUGGUCAGUAAAUACUGUAACUUUGGUACCUAUAAGAUAUGAACAGAAUUUGUCAUAAGCAAAAACUAUAGCAAAUAGUCCCUUUUUAAUUACCGUAUAAUUGAGUAGGGCUCCCGUCAAGGUUCUACUUGCAUAGUAAAUGGGGUUGAAUACUUUAUUUCUUCUUUGAUCGAUCACAACUCCAACAGCAUAAUCACUUGCAUCGCACAUCAACUCAAAAGAUGAGUUCCAAUUAAGUGUAAAGAUUAUUGGGGUUGUAAUUAACCGAUUCUUUAGAUCUUCAAAAGCUUCCAAACAUGCUUUGUUGAAAUUGAGCAUUGUAUCUUUCUCUAACAACAAACACAGCGGCUUAAAAAUUUUCGAGAAAUCCUUGAUAAACCUUCGAUAAAAACUGGCAUGGCCUAAGAAACUUCUGACUCCUUUCACAUUAAUGGGGGCCGGUAAUCUUUCAAUUACGUCCACCUUUACUUUGUCAACUUCAAUUUCUUUCUUGAGAUCUUGUGACCUAAGACAAUUCCUUCAUUGACCAUAAAAUGGCAUUUUUCCCAAUUAAGGACAAGAUUCGUCUCUUCGCAUCUCUUUAGUACCUUAGCCAAAUUACUCAAACAGAUAUCAUAAGUGUUACCAAAAACAAAAAAAAAAUCAUCCAUGAAAACCUUGAUGAAAUUUUUGACCAUAUCAGUAAAUAUUACCAUCAUGCAUCGUUGAAAAGUUGCAGGUGCAUUGCAUAAACCAAAAGGCAUUCACCUAAAAGCAAACGCACCAUACGGACAAGUAAAGGUUAUUUUAUGUUGGUCCUCCGGGGCUACAACUAUUUGGUUAUAUCCCGAAUAGUCAUCUAAAAAAAUAAUAGAAUUAAUUACAUGUCAGUCGAUCUAACAUCUGAUCCAUAAAAGGCAACGAAAAAUGGUCAUUCCAAGUGGCUUUGUUAAGCUUUUUGUAAUCAAUACAGAUUCUCCAACCUGUAACAGUUCUCGUUGGCAUUAACUCAUUAUGCUCAUUUUCAAAAAUCGUGAUUCCACCUUUCGCCGGCAUACACUGUACCGGACUUACCCACGAACUGUCUGAAAUAGGAUAGAUGAUUCCAACAUCUAACCAUUUAAUCACUUUCUUUCUCUCAACUUCUUCCAUAUUAGGAUUGAGCCUCCUUUUCCCAUCAAUUCAAGCUCUUUCACCUUCUUCUAAAAUGAUUUUAUGCAUGCAAAAUGAAGGGCUUAUACCUCGAAUAUCAGCUAUGCUCUAACCAAUUGCUUUCUUAAAUUUAUUUAGAACAGCAAUUAAUCGCUCCUCUUGAUCUUUUGUCAGUUCCACUGAAAUAAUCACAGGCAAAGUAGAACAAUCACCUAAAUACACGUAUUUCAAAUGGGAAUGAAGUACCUUUAGUUUGAGUUUAGGUGGUUCUUCGAUUGACAACUUGGGUUGCACAAAUUCUCUAACUUCCAACUCCAACGAUUCAAACCGUGUGGAUUGAAUAUAAUUUCUCAGAUUAGAUUUCAUCAAAGCCAUGUUUUCUUCACCUUCUUCAUCCUCCAAAGGGUCAAGAUCUAAAGCUUUCUCCAAUGGAUCUUCUUCAAAAUUUCUUUCCAAAUAAACCAAGAUUUCUAUCUCUUCCAUAACUGAACACUCCUCUACCGGAUCAGGAAAUUUCAUUGCUUUAAGAAUUUUAAAGGUUACCUGAUCGUCUUGAACUCGCAUGGUGAGUUCACCUUUCUGCACAUCAAUUAACAUUCUUCCUGUGGCUAGGAAAGUUCUUACAAGGAUGAUUGGCACUUCCUUAUCUACUUCAAAAUCUAAAAUAAUGAAAUCAGCAGGAAAAAUAAAUUUAUCGACUCUUACCAAAACAUCAUCGAUCUUUCCUUCGGGAUAUGCUAAAGAUCGAUCUGCUAGCUGAAGCGUCACAAUUGUAGGUCUUACUUCACCUAUUCCUAACAUCUUGAAAAUAGACUUAGGCAUUAAGUUGAUACUCGCUCCUAAGUCACACAAAGCUUUACCACAGUAAGAUUCACCAAUGUUACAAGGUAUAGUAAAACUUCUUGGGUCUUUCAAUUUCGGUGCAGUUUGUUUUGCAGGAACGCAUUGCACUCUUUUGUCAAAGCCACAGUAUCAUACUCACUCAGUCUUUUUUUCUUGGACAGUAUAUCCUUCAUAAACUUCACAUAAUUUGGCAUUUGUUCUAAAGCCUCCACCAACGGAAUAUUGAUAUGUAACUGCUUCAGAACAUCCAAAAACUUCUUAAAUUGCACCUCAUGUUUCUACUUGUGUUGCUGCAAUCUUUGCGGAUAUGGAGGUGAUGGAACUUUCGGUUGAACCGGACAACUUUUCUGAGUGGGCAAAUCUGCAUCCAAAAAAGAUGUUAAAAUAUAUGAAUUCACUAGCUCAGGGUUUACCUUGUCAGACUUUAAAGAUUCUGAUUCCUUUGGUGUAGGAACUUCAACAGCUGGUUGACUUCCCUCCUUUUCAACAUGCUCAUCAUUGACAUCAAUCAAUCAGGGUUCCAGAUUCUUUCCACUUCGCAAUGCCACUACCUUGAUAUGUUCUUUACCCAAAUUUCUUGGAUUCUCAGUAUCACUCGGCAAGGUUCUUUACGGUCUAUUACGAAGCUCCGUAGCUAAUUAACCCAGUUGGUUUUCCAAAUUUUUUAGUGUUGCUACUUGGCUUUGGAUCAAAGCGUCAUUCUUUGCCAUGUACACUUUCAAUAAGUUCUCGAAACUGUUUGAUGCCUCAGCUUGAGGUGGUUUUAGAGCUUGCUGAUUAAACCCUUGAGAUUGGUUGGGUCUUUGCUGUAAUAAGUUAUUGUUCGGUCCAUUUCCUUGGUUGCUCCAAAAAAAGUUAGGAUGAUUACGCCAUGACGGAUUGUAGAAAUUGGACUGGGGUCCUUGUCCACUCCUAUUUUGAUAUUGGUUCCCCACAUAGUACACUGACUCGGGAUUUGAUGGACAAUUCUCAAAAGAAUAACCUUCUCGAUAGUACACACAGGAAACUACUUCAAACAGACUUGGUGGUUGAGCUGCAAAAUUAUUAGUACUAUUAGCAAUUAACUGUUUUAACAUAGAGGAAAUAGACGAUACCUGAGUUGAUAACGAAGUGAGGGAGUCAACUUCAUGAACUCUAGCUAAUGUCUUUCUGAAGCUAUUCGAUUUGUUGGCCAUUGAUAGUUAUUACUCGCGAUCCUCUCGAUGAUCUCCUAAGCCUCAUUAUAAGACUUAGACAAAAUUACACCAUUCGCAGAAGCAUCUACCAUUAAUCUUGUAUGUGCAUUGAGACCAUUAUAGAAUGUCUCCAAAUGGAUACAAUGAGGAAUCCCAUGAUGAGGACACUUACGAAGUAACUCCUUGAAUCGCUCCCAAACCUCAUACAGAGACUCGUCAUCCAAUUGCUGGAAAGUUGUGAUCUCGUUCCUCAACUUAGCAUUUUUGCUAGGUGGGAAAUACUUAACCAAAAAUCUCUCUGCUAAUUCUUGCCAUGUAGAUAUGGAACUUGGUGGCAAUAAAUUGAGCCAUGCUCGUGCUCGAUCUCGCAACGAGUACGAAAACAAAUUCAACCUCAGUGUGUCUUCAGUCACACCGACUAUCUUUAAUGAAUCAGUCACCUCCAUAAAUAAUCGAAGGUGAACAUGUGGAUCUUCCGUAGGCAUACCACUAAAUUUGCCCAUCGUUUGUAGCAUUUGAAACAUCAUUGGUUUCAAUUCAAACUGGGUUGCCUCAAUAUUUGGCCUUCUAAUUCUUGGGUUUAAAUAAUUGAAAAGUGGCACAGCAUAUUGUCUGAUGCAUCGAUCCCUAUCAUCGGCAAUGAGGAUGGGAUUUCGUACAUUAUCGGCUUCAUUACCUUGGUCUUGAUUCUGAUUUCCAAGGUCCAUCUCGACUUGUCUUUGAGCUAUUCGUUCACGUCUUUUUUGUCUGAAAGUUCGCUCAAUUUCAGGGCCUAAAGGGAGUAAAUCGAUAAUUCGAUCUAUGCUCAUAAACACCUAACAAGAAAAUCACAAAAAUUAGAAAGAAUAAGUUAAUAAUGUUAGAAAUAAAUCAAAUUGACAAUAAAUAAUUUCACGAAAAAAAAUAACUAUGGUAACAUUUGACAAUCCCCAGUAACGGUGCCAAAAAACUGUAACGCUAGGGUUUGUGCAAGUGUACACAGUCGUUAUCAAGUAAUAAGUAUCGAGUUAUUGUCUCCACAGGGAUGGUAUUUGUGCUGAGUCACUUAAUUUGUAAAAUUAUAUUAACAAUUUGAAAAAAUAAAAACAAAAUAUAGUUGAGAAGUGGUAUAAACUAGAUGCAAUGAUCCCUAAUGUAAAUUAUCCUAAUAUGCAGACUACAUGAAUGAAAUAGAUUUUAGCAAAAUUUAACACAAUUUGCAACAAUUAUAACAUAAAUGAACUAGGACAAUUACUUUAAUUAAACUUAAUUUAUUAUCAUCAUGCUUAAUAAUAUUUGGAAAAACAUUCCAUGGCCACUCGAUCUUUCAAGAGUUUGGAAACCAAAUUAGGUCCUUUCGAAAUCCUUUACUUAGUAAAAACGUAUUUUACUGAUCCUUAUUUACUAAGGGUUUCUUAGCAUUCGUGUGAGGUAACAAGGACGUGUUAGGUUUGAAACAAUUUAAUCACACAAAUCUAAUAACUAUGCAGAUAACAGAGCCUGGUUAGGGUUGUUAUGCAACCUACAAUUUAAUCAAGUUAGGAUCUAAAUUGAGCAUGCACAUUUCAAUUAUGCGUCCAUUAGUCAUCGUCUGGUUAGGAUCGCUCAGCUAAUUCACGUGCAUUUCAAUCUAAAAACUAUGCAGCUAACAGGUAAAUUAGCCGUCCAUUAGCCGUACCUUGAGCUUUUGUCACACUUCUUCUCUGCACUCAAUGAAAUAAAACACAACAUAAAAAUAUAAGCACCAUUUCUUUUAUUACUUUUUCUACUAAAAUAAGUUUUUUUUUCUCGUAAAAAACCUAAGAUGGGGAGAGGGUUUUAAAAUUCAAAGCCUUCAAAAAUAGAUGAGUUUGAGGUUGUUAAUAUUAUUUUAUAUUGUUGAAUAGUAAAUUAAUUUUAUCGAUGGUUGAACCAAUUAGAUCGAGAAUUAAUGAUUUGAUUGAUUUGAGUUUGGGCUGCUCAUUAUCUUGACUGCAUUUAUCAUUUAAUUCUUUUUUUAAUUAGCCAAACUCAUGUUCACAAUGGUAUAACAGUAAUUAAUGACUUCAUGGACAGAACAUCAAUAUAUAAAUACACAAACAAAUAUAAUGGGAAUUGGAGAACUCCCAUUUAUACAAACAAAUAUAAGUGGGCAAAUUCAAUACUCAUAAUAAAUACACAAAGAUGACUAAAAACAUUAUUAAACCAGAUCCAGUAUGCAGCAUACAAGAAAAGGGGGUAUUUCAAGGAGUAGAACGAGAAGGUGGUGGAGAAAAGGAAGGAAUAGAGGGAACUGCAGUUGGGAUUGAGGGAAUGCUUGGCAGAGGCGGCAGUCAUCUUGGCAAUGUGGUAGGAAGUGGAGGAAGCGCCCCAGGGUUUGGGAGAUUAGGGAAAGAUGGCAAUGGCGGAAAAGAGAAAGGAAUAGGGGGAAUUGCAGUUGGGAUUGUGGGGACUGAGGGAAUGCUUGGCAGAGGGGGCAGUCCUGUUGGGAAUGUGGUAGGAAGUGGAAGAAGCGCCCCAGGCCAUGAGAAUGAUGGUCGGGAUGGCGUUGGGAGAUUAGGGAAAGAUGGUAAACUUUGCGUUCGAGGCUGCUGCAGAAGGUGACGAGCUGCUACCCCAACAUCAAUGCCUGCAAAUGACAAAGCAAUCAAGAAUGCUAAAGCAAAGCAAUUGAAAGAGGCCAUUUUUGUUCAAAGAUUUCGAAACAAAUGAAGCAGAUGAAACGAAGUUCUUUAUCUGAAUAGUUGUGAGUGAGGAAAACAAAGCAUGGUAUUGAGGUUUAUAUAGGCAUUGGAGUAGUGAAUAGAAAUCCCCUGCCCUUAAACAAUGCCCCAUGCAUGCCCCCAAACCAAAUUAGCGCCACAUGUUUUUUAUUUUUUCCAUUUUAAUUGUAGUUCAUUUUUUAAAUAAAAAAUUUAUAAUGAUUUGAAUUAAUUUUUAACUUAUUAUCAACGUUUUUAUUUUUGUUUUAUUUUUAUUUUACAUUAAUUUUACCUAUUCUUUAAUUAACAACUUUAUAAUGACUUAGAGUUUAUCUAAUAGAGGUUUUUUUUUUAUAAUCGGUCUUAUAAUAAAAUUUUAUAAGGUGGGAACAAGUCCCACUGUGACAACAUGAUCCUUCAAUUUUUGGUGGUGGCAUGCCUUUAGUCAAAGGAUCAGCUAACAUCUGCUCAAUGCUAAUGUGCUCAAUGACCAAUUUCUUUUCUUUAACAUGUUCCCUCAUGCCUAGGUACUUAAAGUCGAUAUGUUUACUUCGACUUCCACUUCUUCCGUUCUUAGCCAUAGAGACAGCAGUUGAAUUGUCACAAUAUAUGAAAUAAUCAAAACCCAUAAUGACUCAGCCCAAAAAUCUCGAGCUUCAAACCCAAAUUAAAUUAAAUCAAAACCAUAAUUUAUUAUGUACAAUUGCACAAAAUUAACAUAAUUUAAGUGUGUCAUACUGCAUAUUAAAUUAAAGUUUACGUUUGACAUUAUAGAUAAUAUUCACGUGUAAAAUUUUGAGAUUUAUUCCCUUAAUUAAAGUAAUAUGUCAAAUAGAAUACUUGAACAAUCCUCCAUGUUGGCAAAGUUUAUGUACAGUAGUAGAAGCGAACUAAAUAAUUAGAAUAAAUCUAAAGUAUGGCUUACAUAUAAUUUAUUCACAAUGUGACUUAAACUUUGUCCUUCAAGAUUUCACGGUCUCAAUUUAUGUCUUAAAAUUUUAAGAUCAUUUUAGGUUUGUUAAAAAAUUAAAAGUUUAGAAAGUUAGAAUUGUUGCUUGAGGCGUGAAUAUCUUUAUUCUUUAGGAUAUUUGCGGAUUUACCACCUCUCAGGAUUUCGUUUGUAUCAUGCACAAUGAAAAAAUUGAAAAAAAAAAUUUCACAUUUGAAUGGAAUUGAGCUGUUAGGCUCAAGCCUCAUGUGCGCAUAUAUAUUCUCUUAUUUUGAGUCUUACAAGUUUAUAGUAAACCAAAUCUAUAUAAACAUCAUUUCAUUAGGUCAAUCUAAAAUAUGUUUAAUAUGUGUAAUUCUUUAAAAUAGAUGAAAACUUCAAAUAUGGUUUAGGUCAUUUUUAGAUUUGUCUUAUUUUAGGUUCAAAUCAUUCGAAUUUGAGGCUAAGUUUUUCAUGUCUAAUCAUUAUUGAUCCGAAUCAUUUUAGAUUUUGAUCAUUUUAAGUUCCAAUUAUUUUGUGAUCAAAUCAUUUCAAGUUUAGAUAAAUUUGGGUCGAUUCGAAUUUGACUUAAUUACGUAGUUAACUUUUUUUUAUAAUAAAUUGAGCUGAAUGAAAGUUAGAUUAGAAUUUAUUUAGUGUGCCUUUGUGUUUAAUUCGAAAUUUAAACAUCUCCCUUCGAAAUAAACAUGUUAAGACAAUUUUAUUUUAAAGACAAUAAUACAACAUAGUUGAUUUGGGAGAUAAACAUGUUAAUUUUUUAAUCCCAACCAAAAUUGUACAUAAUUCUUUUAUGUCAUAUUAAAUACAUGUAACGUCUUAUAAAAAUUGUCAAUAAAUUAUGCCUAGCGACAACGUUAUUCAACUCUAAUUUCAUUGUUAAUACCUAUUUCUAUUUUUCUUCUACUGUCUUCAACUUUAAAUAUAAAGGGAUUGAAAUCUUAAGAAUUGAGAUUUCUUUUCUCUGUAUUAGUGGACGUCUGAUUUUUUGUUUGAUUGUUUUUUUUUUACUGGAAUUGACACAUAUCUUUUCAGAUUUAUCAAUAUUUUUAAAAUUUAUUUAAGAUAUGUAUAUAAAUAUAUUACAAAUAUAAGAUAAAUGAAACUAAAUACAUUUCAAAUAUAAAAUAUUCAUUAAUAAAUUGAACAAAUAAAAAUUUAUCAUUCAAAUAAAUCUAAAAUUAUUAAUAACAAUCCAUCAUUUAAUAUGAAAUUUUAUGGAUUUAGCUCAUUUACUUAAUAAAAGAAGCUAAAAGGUGAACGAAUAUAUUUUUUCUUUGAUAAUCGGGUGAACGGUUUUUCUUAAUUAUAUUUUGAAUGUGAAAGUAUAUUCCAUUUUUUUAAAAACUUUACAUUCUGAUGUAACAUUUUUAAUUAGUCACGUUUCAAUUAAGUUUUUAGCAUAAUAGUAAAUAAUUAAAAGUUUAAUAUUUUUAAUAUUAUUCAUGCACAGGACGGUGCAUUAUGUUCUGGCAAGUGUGACAGGAAUUGAUCGGAAUGAGUUGGUGCAAUUGGUACGGACCGAAAUUUUCACCAGUGUAGAAAAAGCGUGUUGGGUGUUUCGCAAUGUUAUUGAAACCAAACUAAACAGACCAAGAACCGAUGAACCCGAGGACUAGAGCAAACUGCAGUUAAACAACAAAUCAUCAGCCGGUUAAGCCGUAUUUUAACCUUUUCUAAACUGGAAAUACGAAAAUUUCACUUCAAAUCCCUUGAGCUUUUGUCACACUUCUUCUCUGCACUCAAUGAAAUAAAACACAACAUAAAAAUAUAAGCACCAUUUCUUUUAUUACUUUUUCUACUAAAAUAAGUUUUUUUUUCUCAUAAAAAACCUAAGAUGGGGAGAGGAUUUUAAAAUUCAAAACCUUCGAAAUAGAUGAGUUUGAGGUUGUUAAUAUUAUUUUAUAUUUUUGAAUAGUAAAUUAAUUGUAUUAGUGGUUUAACCAAUUGGAUCGAGAAUUAAUGAUUUGAUUGAUUUGAGUUUGGGCUGCUCAUUACCUUGACUGCAUUUAUCAUUUAAUUCUUUUUUUAAUUAGCCAAACUCAUGUUCACAAUGGUAUAACAGUAAUUAAUGACUUCAUGGACAGAACAUCAAUAUAUAAAUACACAAACAAAUAUAAUGGGAAUUGGAGAACUCCAAUUUAUACAAACAAAUAUAAGUGUGCAAAUUCAAUACUCAUAAUAAAUACACAAAGAUGACUAAAAACAUUAUUAAACCAGAUCCAGUAUGCAGCAUACAAGAAAAGAGGGUAUUUCAAGGAGUAGAACGAGAAGGUGGUGGAGAAAAGGAAGGAAUAGAGGGAACUGCAGUUGGGAUUGAGGGAAUGCUUGGCAGAGGCGGCAGUCCUCUUGGCAAUGUGGUAGGAAGUGGAGGAAGCGCCCCAGGGUUUGGGAUAUUAGGGAAAGAUGGCAAUGGCGGAAAAGAGAAAGGAAUAGGGGGAAUUGCAGUUGGGAUUGUGGGGACUGAGGGAAUGCUUGGCAGAGGGGGCAGUCCUGUUGGGAAUGUGGUAGGAAGUGGAGGAAGCGCCCCAGGCCAUAAGAAUGAUGGUCGGGAUGGCGUUGGGAGAUUAGGGAAAGAUGGUAAACUUUGCGUUCGAGGCUGCUGCAGAAGGUGACGAGCUGCUACCCCAACAUCAAUGCCUGCAAAUGACAAAGCAAUCAAGAAUGCUAAAGCAAAGCAAUUGAAAGAGGCCAUUUUUGUUCAAAGAUUUUGAAACAAAUGAAGCAGAUGAAACGAAGUUCUUUAUCUGAAUAGUUGUGAGUGAGGAAAACAAAGCAUGGUAUUGAGGUUUAUAUAGGCAUUGGAGCAGUGAAUAGAAAUCCCCUGCCCCUAAACAAUGCUCCAUGCAUGCCCUCAAACCAAAAUAGCUCCACAUGUUUUUUAUUUUUUUCAUUUUAAUUUUUUUAAAUAAAAACUCUGUAAUGAUUUGAAUUAAUUUUUAACUUAUUAUCAACGUUUUUAUUUUUGUUUUAUUUUUAUUUUACAUUAAUUUUACCUAUUCUUUAAUUAAAAAAUUUAUAAUGACUUAGAGUUAAUUUGAGAGAGUUUUUUUUAUAAUUGGUCUUAUAAUAAAAUUUUACAAAGCAGAAACAAGUUCCACUGUGAAAACAUGAUCCUUAAAUUUUUGGAGAUAACCAUGUUAAUUUUUUAAUCCCAACCAAAAUUCGAAAUAAUUCUUUUAUGUCAUAUUAAAUACACGUAACGUCUUAUAAAAAUUGUCAAUAAAUUAUGCAUAGUGACAAGGUUAUUCAAAUCUAAUUUCAUUGUUAAUACCUAUUUUUAUUUUUCUUCUACUGUCUUCAACUUUAAAUAUAAAGGGAUUGAAAUUUUAAGAAUUGAGAUUUCUUUUCUCUGUAUUAGCGGACGUCUUAUUUUUUGUUUGAUUGUUUUUUUUACUGGAAUUGACACAUAUCUUUUCAGAUUUAUCAAUAUUUUUAAAAUUUAUUUAAGAUAUUAUUGGGAAUUAUCCAUAUUUAUGGAAAAUCAAAGAUAUGGGUAUCAAAUAUUGGAAAGUCAAAGAUAUGGGUAUCGAGAUAUUGGCAUAAUAAAAUCUGAGAUAUUUGCAAUAUAUGGUCCCUAAUUGUAAAGUGACUUUGCAAGUUGAUCCCUGAACCUCAACUAUAAAUAGGCAUAACCAUCUCUCAUUCUGUAUCUCAAACUUGCCAUUCUCUACUUAAGGCAUUGUUUUCUCUCUCUCUCUUUGUAAAUUCUCACUUGUAUUUUGGAGUGAAAUAUAUUUGGUAGUGCCCGAGGACGUAGGCAAAAUUUGCUGAACCUCAUUAAAUUCUUGUGUUCUUUAUUGUAUUAUUCUGCAUGAAUUGUGUGUGUGAUUGUAGUGAUUUAUUGUGCUAUUAAAUUACGAUUGAGGGAUAUUCUGGCUAGGAAAGACCUGGUACUUAAGUGAUCCUUGUGAUCCACCUCUCUUUCCUGGGAAUUGAACUUAGUGUGAUUUUUUAGUACAAUAAUUUUACUCUUUUACACGCUUCCGCACAACAAUUGGUAUCAGAGCUAGAUUCGUACUUGAGGAAUACGAUCGUUCACGGCACUGUUCACGUACUGUAGUUGGGAUUGAGGAGAAAAAGAUGGAAAAGUCAUCGUCAAAGACUACUGUGACCAAUGCGAAAUUUGAAGUAGAGAAAUUUGAUGGUACCAAUAAUUUUGGUAUGUGGCAAUGUGAGAUCCUGGAUGUCUUAUGUCAACAAGAGCUGGAUAUAGCCCUUGAAGAAAAACCUGACAAGAUGGAUGACAAGGAGUGGGCCAAGAUCAAUAGACAGGCAUGUGGAACAAUUCGCCUAUGUUUGGCCAAAGAGCAGAAGUACUCUGUCAUGAGGGAGACAUCAGCGAAGAAGUUGUGGGAUACACUGGAAGAAAAGUUUCUAACAAAAAGUCUUGAAAAUAGGCUUUAUAUGAAAAAAAAACUUUAUCGAUUCACGUAUGCACCCGGUAUGUCGAUGAAUGACCAUGUGAACUCAUUCAAUAAAAUUUUAGCAGACUUGCUAAAUUUGGAUGAGAAAUUUGAAGAUGAAGACAAGGCAUUAUUGUUGUUGAAUUCCCUUCCUGAUGAAUAUGAUCAUCUUACCACCACAUUGCUUCAUGGGAAGGACACGAUCACAUUUGAUGCAGUCUGUAGUGCGUUGUAUAGAUCUGAGACUCGAAAGAAAGAUAAAAGAGAUCACAGAGAUACAACCGCAGAAGUCUUAACAGUAAGAGGUCGUUCACACAGUAGCAAAUCUGGUAGAAGGGGAAAGUCCAAAGGGAGACCCGCCAAAGAUGAAUGUGCCUUUUGCCGUGAAAAAGGGCAUUGGAAAAAGAAUUGUCCUAAGCUACAAAAGGGCAAGGCUAUUUCUAAUGCAUGUGUAGCGGAGCAUGAUGAGGAGUCAGACUUUAGCUUGGUUGGCAUGGCAAUGGCAUGUCAAACGGAUGAGUGGAUUUUGGAUUCAGGAUGUACUUACCAUUUGUGCCCUAAUAAGGACUGGUUUUCUAGUCUUAAAGAGCUAGAAGGUGGAAUUGUUCUUAUGGGAAAUGAUAGUGCUUGUAAGACAAUGGGAGUGGGUACAGUCCAAUUGAAGAAUCACGACGGCUCAAUCCAAGUCUUGACAGAUGUUCGCUACGUACCUAGCCUGAAGAAAAAUCUCAUCUCAUUAGGUGCCCUAGAAUCUAAAGGGCUCACAAUCACUUUGAGAGAUGGAUUACUAAAAGUAGUAGCUGGGCAACUGACGGUGAUGAAAGGCACAAGAAGAAAUAACUUGUAUUUUUUAAAUAGAAGUACAGUUAUUGGAUCAACAUCAACAGUUUCUACAAAAGAUGUAGAUUCAGAGGCUACCAGAUUAUGGCAUAUGCGAUUGGGACAUGCUGGUGAAAAAGCUUUGCAGACAUUGGUGAAGCAAGGCUUAUUGAAAGGUGCAAAUUCUUGCAAAAUGGAAUUCUGUGAACAUUGUGUUCUGGGCAAGCAGAAGAGGGUAAAAAUUGGUCCAGCAAUUCACAAUACGAAAGGAAUUCUGGACUACGUUCACAGUGAUGUGUGGGGACCUACCAAAGUAGCUUCUUUGGGAGGUAUGCACUAUUUUGUUACUUUUGUUGAUGAUUAUUCAAGAAAAGUAUGGGUGUAUCUAAUGAAAAGAAAAAGUGAAGUUUUGGAUGCAUUUCUGAAAUGGAAGAAGAUGGUGGAGACUCAGACUGGUCGAAAGGUCAAACGACUUCGAUCAGAUAAUGGUACUGAGUACAAAAACGAUCCAUUUCUACAAGUACGCCAAGAUGAGGGCAUUGUGCGACACUUCACUAUUCGGGAUACACCACAGCAAAAUGGGGUGGCAGAACGAAUAAAUCGAACUAUACUGGAGAAAGUUCGAUGUAUGUUGUCCAAUGCUGGAUUGGGCAAAGAAUGUUGGGCUGAGGCAGUUACAUAUGCGUGCCAUCUAAUUAACUGUUUGCCAUCAGUUGCAAUAAAUGGAAAAACUCCUAUGGAGAUGUGGACUGGUAAAUCUGCUACUGAUUAUGAUUCUUUGCAUGUAUUUGGUUCCACUGCAUAUUAUCAUGUAAAAGAAUCUAAGUUAGACCCAAGAGCAAAGAAAGCAUUAAUCUUGGGUAUAACUGAUGGAGUAAAAGGAUAUCGUCUCUGGUGUCCUGAUACAAGGAAGAUUGUUUUCAGUAGAGAUGUGACUUUUGAUGAAUCAACCAUGUUGAAGUACAAGGAUUCACAAAAGGAUGACAAAACCAGUAGCACUUUGUAGCAGGUGGAGCUUGAAAAGGUUAACGAUGAUCCAGCUAAUAUUGAAGGGACAAAUGAUGAAGAGGUUCCUACCCAAGAAUCUCUACAGCAACAAGAUUCAAUUGCAUAUAGAAGGCCAAGAAGAGAGAUUCGUAAGCCUGCUCGCUUUGAUGAUAUAAUGGCCUAUGCACUUCCAAUUACAGAUGAUGAUGUUCCUUCUACUUACACAGAAGUAAUAAGUAACCCUGAUGGUGUAAAGUGGAAGCAAGCAAUGAAUGAAGAAAUGCAGUCUCUUCAUAAAAAUAAGACCUAGGAGUUGGUGGCACUACCCAAGGGAAAGAAGGCAAUUGGAUGCAAAUGGGUAUAUGCAAAGAAGGAAGGAUUUCCUAAUAAAAAUGAAAUUCGAUACAAGGCUAGAUUAGUAGCAAAGGGUUACGCUCAGAAAGAAGGAAUAGACUACAAUGAAGUGUUUUCUCCAGUUGUGAAGCAUUCGUCUAUUCGGAUCUUGCUAGCCUUGGUUGCGCAAUAUGAUCUUGAACUAGUUCAGCUUGAUGUGAAGACCGCGUUUUUACACGGUGAUUUGGAAGAGGAAAUCUAUAUGACUCAGCCAGAUGGAUUCAAGGUUGCUGGAAAAGAAAAUUGGGUUUGCAAACUGACAAAGUCGCUUUAUGGAUUGAAGCAAUCUCCAAGGCAGUGGUACAAGCGAUUUGAUCAGUUCAUGAAAGGGCAAAGGUACACAAGAAGUAAAUUUGAUCAUUGCGUGUAUUUUCAGAAGCUACAAGAAGGAACUUUCAUAUACUUUCUCUUAUAUGUUGAUGAUAUGCUAAUAGCAUCUAAGAGCAAAGUUGAGAUUGAAAGAUUGAAGACUCAACUCAAUCUCGAGUUUGAGAUGAAAGAUUUAGGAGAAGCUAAAAAGAUUCUCGGCAUGGAAAUUUGGAGAGAUAGAGCUCAUGAUAGAGUUAGCUUGUCUCAGAAGCAGUAUUUGAAAAAGGUACUACAGCAGUUUGGCAUGAACGAGCAGACAAAACCUGUAAGUACCCCGUUGGCUUCUCAUUUCAAGCUUUCUGCACAACUAUCUCCUUCGACGAAUACGGAACGAGAAUACAUGUUGCAAGUUCCGUAUUCUAAUGCAGUGGGUAGCUUGAUGUAUGCAAUGGUGUGUACAAGACCCGACAUUUCACAGGCAGUUAGUAUAGUGAGCAGGUAUAUGCAUAAUCCUGGAAAAGGACAUUGGCAAGCUGUGAAAUGGAUUCUACGGUAUAUUCAUAAGACCAUGGAUAUUGGAUUACUGUUCAAGCAGGAUACUACACUUGGUAAAGGUGUUGUUGGGUACGUUGAUUCUGAUUAUGCCGGUGAUUUGGACAAACGAAGAUCAACCACUGGUUAUGUGUUUACUCUUGCUGAAGGACCAAUAAGUUGGAAGUCUACACUGCAGUCUACAGUUGCGUUGUCAACCACAGAAGCUGAAUACAUGGCUGUAACAGAGGCUGUAAAGGAAGCUAUUUGGUUACAAGGUAUGGUUAAAACCUUGGGAUUGGUCCAGGAGCAUAUUAAUGUGUAUUGUGAUAGUCAAAGUGCUAUUCAUUUAGCAAAGAAUCAAGUCUAUCAUGCACGUACAAAGCAUAUCGAUGUACGUUUCCACUUUGUGCGGGAAAUUAUUGAUGAGGGGAAAAUUCACCUUCAAAAGAUUAAGACUGCAGAUAAUCCCGCAGAUAUGAUGACCAAGGUGGUAACAACAAUCAAGUUCGAACAUUGUUUGAACUUGAUCAAUAUUCUGCAUGUUUAACAGUUGAAGAAGGCACUAUCAAGUGUUGUUGACAAAGGCAGAGAGAAUUGUGUGAAGAUAAGAUUACUCGAAUCAAAUCUUCAAGGUGGAGAUUAUUGGGAAUUAUCCAUAUUUAUGGAAAAUCAAAGAUAUGGGUAUCAAAUAUUGGAAAGUCAAAGAUAUGGGUAUCAAAUAUUGGAAAGUCAAAGAUAUGGGUAUCGAGAUAUUGGCAUAAUAAAAUCUGAGAUAUUUGCAAUAUAUGGUCCCUAAUUGUAAAGUGACUUUGCAAGUUGAUCCCUGAACCUCAACUAUAAAUAGGCAUAACCAUCUCUCAUUCUGUAUCUCAAACUUGCCAUUCUCUACUUAAGGCAUUGUUUUCUCUCUCUCUCUUUGUAAAUUCUCACUUGUAUUUUGGAGUGAAAUAUAUUUGGUAGUGCCCGAGGACGUAGGCAAAAUUUGCUGAACCUCGUUAAAUUCUUGUGUUCUUUAUUGUAUUAUUCUGCAUGAAUUGUGUGUGUGAUUGUAGUGAUUUAUUGUGCUAUUAAAUUACGAUUGAGGGAUAUUCUGGCUAGGAAAGACCUGGUACUUAAGCGAUCCUUGUGAUCCACCUCUCUUUCCUGGGAAUUGAACUUAGUGUGAUUUUUUAGUACAAUAAUUUUACUCUUUUACACGCUUCCGCACAACAGAUAUGUAUAUAAAUAUAUUACAAAUAUAAGAUAAAUGAAACUAAAUACAUUUCAAAUAUAAAAUAUUCAUUAAUAAAUUGAACAAAUAAAAAUUUAUCAUUCAAAUAAAUCUAAAAGUAUUAAUAACAAUCCAUCAUUUAAUAUGAAAUUUUAUGGAUUUAGCUCAUUUACUUAAUAAAAGAAGCUAAAAGGUGAACGAAUAUAUUUUUUCUUUGAUAAUCAGGUGAACGGUUUUUUCUUAAUUAUAUUUUGAAUGUGAAAGUAUAUUCCAUUUUUUAAAAAACUUUACAUUCCGAUGUAACAUUUUUAAUUAGUCACGUUUCAAUUAAGUUUUUAGCAUAAUAGUAAAUAAUUAAAAGUUUAAUAUUUUUAAUAUUAUUCAUGCACAGGACGGUGCAUUAUGUUCUGGCAAGUGUGACAGGAAUUGAUCGGAAUGAGUUGGUGCAAUUGGUACGGACCGAAAUUUUAACCAGUGUAGAAAAAGCGUGUUGGGUGUUUCGCAAUGUUAUUGAAACCAAACUAAACAGACCAAGAACCGAUGAACCCGAGGACUAGAGCAAGCUGCAGUUAAACUACAAAUCAUCAGCUGGUUAAGCCGUAUUUUAACAUUUUCUAAACUGGAAAACUGAAAAUUUCACUUCAAAUCGCUUGAGCUUUUGUCACACUUCUUCUCUGCACUCAAUGAAAUAAAACACAGCAUAAAAAUAUAAGCACCAUUUCUUUUAUUACUUUUUCUACUAAAAUAAGUUUUUUUUUUCUCGUAAAAAACCUAAGAUGGGGAGAAGAUUUUAAAAUUCAAAACCUUCGAAAUAUAUGAGUUUGAGGUUGUUAAUAUUAUUUUAUAUUUUUGAAUAGUAAAUUAAUUGUAUUGGUGGUUUAACUUAUUGGAUCGAGAAUUAAUGAUUUGAUUGAUUUGAGUUUGUGCUGCUCACUAUCUAGAUUGCAUUUAUCAUUUAAUUCUUUUUUUAAUUAGCCAAAAUCAUGUUAACAAUUCAUGGACCGAACAUCAAUAUAUAAAUACACAAACAAAUAUAAUGGGAAUUGGAGAACUCCCAUUUAUGCAAACAAAUAUAAGUGGACAAAUUCAAUACUCAUAAUAAAUACACAAAGAUGACUAAAAACAUUAUUAAACCAGAUCCAGUAUGCAGCAUACAAGAAAAGGGGGUAUUUCAAGGAGUAGAACGAGAAGGUGGUGGAGAAAAGGAAGGAAUAGAGGGAACUGCAGUUGGGAUUGAGGGAAUGCUUGGCAGAGGCGGCAGUCCUCUUGGCAAUGUGGUAGGAAGUGGAGGAAGCGCCCCAGGGUUUGGGAGAUUAGGGAAAGAUGGCAAUGGUGGAAAAGAGAAAGGAAUAGGGGGAAUUGCAGUUGGGAUUGUGGGGACUGAGGGAAUGCUUGGCAGAGGGGGCAGUCCUGUUGGGAAUGUGGUAGGAAGUGGAGGAAGUGCCCCAGGCCAUGAGAAUGAUGGUCGGGAUGGCGUUGGGAGAUUAGGGAAAGAUGGUAAACUUUGCGUUCGAGGCUGCUGCAGAAGGUGACGAGCUGCUACCCCAACAUCAAUGCCUGCAAAUGACAAAGCAAUCAAGAAUGCUAAAGCAAAGCAAUUGAAAGAGGCCAUUUUUGUUCAAAGAUUUCGAAACAAAUGAAGCAGAUGAAACGAAGUUCUUUAUCUGAAUAGUUGUGAGUGAGGAAAACAAAGCAUGGUAUUGAGGUUUAUAUAGGCAUUGGAGUAGUGAAUAGAAAUCCCCUGCCCUUAAACAAUGCCCCAUGCAUGCCCCCAAACCAAAUUAGCGCCACAUGUUUUUUAUUUUUUCCAUUUUAAUUGUAGUUCAUUUUUUAAAUAAAAAAUUUAUAAUGAUUUGAAUUAAUUUUUAACUUAUUAUCAACGUUUUUAUUUUUGUUUUAUUUUUAUUUUACAUUAAUUUUACCUAUUAUUUAAUUAACAAAUUUAUAAUGACUUAGAGUUUAUCUAAUAGAGGUUUUUUUUUAUAAUCGGUCUUAUGAAAAAAUUUUAUAUGGUGGGAACAAGUCCCACAGUGACAACAUGAUCCUUCAAUAUUUGGUGGUGGCAUGCCUUUAGUCAAAGGAUCAGCUAACAACUGCUCAAUGCUAAUGUGCUCAAUGACCAAUUUCUUUUCUUUAACAUGUUCCCUCAUGCCUAGGUACUUAAAGUCGAUAUGUUUACUUCGACUUCCACUUCUUCCGUUCUUAGCCAUAAAGACAGCAGUUGAAUUGUCACAAUAUAUGAAAUAAUCAAAACCCAUAAUGACUCAGCCCAAAAAUCUCGAGCUUCAAACCCAAAUUAAAUUAAAUCAAAACCAUAAUUUAUUAUGUACAAUUGCACAAAAUUAAUAUAAUUUAAGUGUGUCAUACUGCACAUUAAAUUAAAAUUUACGUUUGACAUUAUAGAUAAUAUUCACGUGUAAAAUUUUGAGAUUUAUUCCCUUAAUUAAAGUAAUAUGUCAAAUAGAAUACUUGAACAAUCCUCCAUGUUGGCAAAGUUUAUGUACAGUAGUAGAAGCGAACUAAAUAAUUAGAAUAACUCUAAAGUAUGGCUUACAUAUAAUUUAUUCACAAUGUGACUUAAACUUUGUCCUUCAAGAUUUCACGGUCUCAAUUUAUGUCUUAAAAUUUUAAGAUUAUUUUAGGUUUGUUAAAAAAUUAAAAGUUUAGAAAGUUAGAAUUGUUGCUUGAGGCGUGAAUAUCUUUAUUCUUUAGGAUAUUUGCGGAUUUACCAUCUCUCGGGAUUUUGUUUGUAUCAUGCACAAUGAAAAAAUUGAAAAAAAAAAUUUCACAUUUGAAUGGAAUUGAGCUGUUAGGCUCAAGCCUCAUGUGCGCAUAUAUAUUCUCUUAUUUUGAGUCUUACAAGUUUAUAGUAAACCAAAUCUAUAUAAACAUCAUUUCAUUAGGUCAAUCUAAAAUAUGUUUAAUAUGUGUAAUUCUUUAAAAUAGAUGAAAACUUCAAAUAUGGUUUAGGUCAUUUUCAGAUUUGUCUUAUUUUAGGUUCAAAUCAUUCGAAUUUGAGGCUAAGUUUUUCAUGUCUAAUCAUUAUUGAUCCGAAUCAUUUUAGAUUUUGAUCAUUUUAAGUUCCAAUUAUUUUGUGAUCAAAUCAUUUCAAGUUUAGAUAAAUUUGGGUCGAUUCGAAUUUGACUUAAUUACGUAGUUAACUUUUUUUAUAAUAAAUUGAGCUGAAUGAAAGUUAGAUUGGAAUUUAUUUAGUGUGCCUUUGUGUUUAAUUCGAAAUUUAAACAUCUCCCUUCGAAAUAAACAUGUUAAGACAAUUUUAUUUAAACGACAAUAAUACAACAUAGUUGAUUUGGGAGAUAAACAUGUUAAUUUUUUAAUCCCAACCAAAAUUGUACAUAAUUCUUUUAUGUCAUAUUAAAUACAUGUAGCGUCUUAUAAAAAUUGUCAAUAAAUUAUGCCUAGCGACAACGUUAUUCAACUCUAAUUUCAUUGUUAAUACCUAUUUCUAUUUUUCUUCUACUGUCUUCAACUUUAAAUAUAAAGGGAUUGGAAUUUUAAGAAUUGAGAUUUCUUUUCUCUGUAUUAGUGGACGUUUGAUUUUUUGUUUGAUUGUUUUUUUUACUGGAAUUGACACAUAUCUUUUCAGAUUUAUCAAUAUUUUAAAAUUUAUUUAAGAUAUGUAUAUAAAUAUAUUACAAACGUAAUGGCCCAAUAUUGCCCGGCCCGAUAAUAAAAUAUGAUAAAAUAAAUAAAGGUCCAAUGUCCAGCUUUUACAAACCCAAAAUCAAUACGGCCCAAUUAGCCUAAACCCAAUUAGCUUUAACCCAAACUCUAGCCUAGCCCAAAACCCAAUUUAGCCCAAGACUCUUCCCAAACCCCGAAAACCCUAGCAGCAACAGGAGCCUCCUUCCAGCGCUGCAACCAUAAGCUGGGCUUCUCCACGCACACACUGCCACGCACAUCUCUGUACGACCACCUCCAUACCUCCAGGCUGGCCGAAUACCUGCAAAAAAAAACGCACGGAAACAACAGCAAACAGAAAAACAACAGCAUAGAGGUGAAUUUUUAAUUAUUUUUUCAUUUUAUUUUUUGUAAAUCGGGAUAUAAGAAAGCCAUUCGAAUACUGUAACGGGAUUUACGCAUUCAAUAUACAAAGAAAUUGAGAAUACAAAAGAAUCAAAAAAGCAGAGAAAGGUGAUUUUCUGGGUUUUUUUAUUCCUUUCUAUCUUGUUGGUUACUUGAUUUUUUUUCUUUACUUUUUUAAUUUGUACAUUCAUCAAUCGUUGUUUAAAAAAGAAAUAGGAAAAUGAAAGGGAGGGAAACGUACCUGGUAGCGCGAUCCUGGCUCUCUCCGGCGUCAUUGGAGCAGGGGCUGGGAUCAAUGACUGCUCGAGUACCUUCAAUACCCAGAACGGCGCUGAGUUUUUUUUUCCGUUUAGGUUUUUGUUUUAAUGUAAAGAUAGGUUUUUAGGGUUUAUUUAGUUUUAAGCGAAGGAAUUAAAAUGUCGAUGUUUAAAGUCGAUGCAAUGACUUUGAAACAGCGUCGUUUUAGAGACCAGAUCCGAACGGUGACCCGAUCCGAGAAGGAUCCGUGCAUUAUGGAUCAUUUGGUCUAUUUGUUCAAUAGAUCCAUCUAUGUUUAAUGGAAUUGCGAUUUGAUUUCUUUUAAUUUUUUGUAAUUCGUACUGCAUAUUUUGUUCUGUUUUCAUUUAUCUGUUUUCAUUUAGAUCCAGAUUGAAACGGUAUCGUUUGCUGCAUUUGACUUUGAUUAUUCUAAGCUUUUAGGUUUAAUUGUCGAUUCAGUCCUCCAAUUUUGAAAUAAAUUUUAAUUUAACAUGAGUUUAGCCUUUUAAAAAAAAAGAAAUGAAUAGCAUUUUUUUAAUUAUAAUUAAUCCUAUUUUCGUACAUUAUAAAAUCUAACAUUAUUUGUACUAUUUGAUUUUGAUGUUUUUAAAUCUACAAUUAUUAUAACUUAAGAUAUAAUAGAUCAUUGUUUUAGUUUAUAUCCUAUACUUUAAAUUUAUUAUAUAAUAAUAUUUUGAAUCUACCAUAUUUAUUUAAUUUUGUCUUUUCCUUUUGGUUCCAUUUUAAGUCCCGAUUUUAAAUUUAUUAAUAUUUUCAUUAUAAUUGUUUUUAUUACUCUUCUAAAUUGUUUUAUUAUAUUUAAUUUUGUCUUCAAAAAGUGUUUUUUAAAACAAAUUAAUUCUUAAUUUUAAUUCAUUUUCUAACAUUAUUUUGGUAUUUAGUAUGAUAUUAUUCUCAAAUUUAUUAUUAGUACAUUUUUUAAAAAUAAUACAUUAUUUGUUUAAAUUAUUAUCAAUAUGUUUUAAUUUUAUCAAUAUUAUUUUAAAAAUAUAUAUGAUUUAUAUGAAAUUAUUCUAGUAUAUAUGUAUAUAGAUUACAUCAUUAACUUUGGAUUAACCUCUUUUACAUAAUUUUUUAAAAAUGUUUUAUUCCUUAAACCUUCUUUAUUUUAUUCGUUUUAUAGGUUGCUAAAUUAUUAAUAUGGAUGUUUGUAUGACAUGAUUAAGAUCAAGGUUUAUAUUUUCCUAUUAUUUGUUUAAUUGCUUCUAGUUUAAGUUUAAGUUGUUAUUUAUCUUUUAUAUAUCGUUAUUCAAUCAUGUUUCAUUUGUAAGAGUUGAAUUUUAUUAAAGCAUCAUAAUUCCUAAAAAAGCUUGGUGUUUAAUAGUUCUCGAGAGAAUUGUGCCCUAACUUACUGGGCUUCAAUUCUUCUCGAUGAAUUUAUAUCAUCAAGUAUCCAUUUUAUAUAAUUUUAAAAUAAAAUUCUUUAGAUUUCAAAAUGUGGGAUCCUAACUUACUGGAUACGACAUUUUGUUAUCUCGAUUUUAAAAUAAAGGUAAUAUUUGAUGUUUAAGAAUUUCGAGAAAUUGAACCCUAACUUACUAGAUUCUGAUUUCUCGAUUGACUUAAAUAGUCAAAUAUCCUUCUUAAAACAUGUUUAAAAUUUUUUAAAAAGGGACGAACUUAACUUCGAAGAUUGAACUGUUGCACUCUAACUCACUGAGUGUGGCAAUUUGUUUCUUUGAAAUGGGUCCGUCCACUUAACCAAUUCAAUUGUUUAAGCUUUCAUUUCAUGGGAUCGUAUUUAAAAAUAUUUUCAAGUUUCGACACUAAGACAUUAAAUAACCAAUUCGGUACCAAUUUUGGGCGUUACAAGGGUGCUAACCCUUCCUCAUGCGUAACUGACUUUCGAACUUAUCUUCUCAAAAUUCGCAGACCAAAAAAAUUAUUUUCAUGGUGAUCCGAUCACACCUCAACAAAAAUUGGUGGCGACUCCAAUUUUCAUUUUUUAAAGUCGACUACUAAUAAAUUUUUGUGUUCAAAAAAUGGUUUCGAUAGCUUGGCGACUCCACUGGGGACUAUAAGAGAGUCAAGCCGAAAAAUCGAUUGUUUCCUGUCUUAUCGUCGAAAAUUAAAAAUUUGAUUUGAAAAAUUACGAUCCUUUCUUUGCAUUUGUUUGUAUGAUUACGGUUUUAUACCUUGGCAUCAUAUUGCAUAAAGACUGUUUAGUCUUACCCUUUAAGUGGGAGUGAGUAGCUAUUCCUUCAUGAGGUUUUCACCUCCGUACAGGAUAGUGAAUCACUUUCGGGAUACAUCCGUACCUAUGUCUUUGUGAGAUUUUCAUCUCCGUGCAGCCAUAGGGAAAUGUAUUCCCCCGAACCAAACUCGGUCUGUAUGAGCCUAUAAUGGGUGAAGAUCGAGGAAUCUGUUGGUUCGGGUACCUCAACUUUAGAACCAAACCCCAUAUAGUGGACUUAGAAGCUCAACCUAGUUAGAACUAUUCCAAUCUCUCGUGAUUGCCUAGAUAGAUGAUUGUGUUUCUUAUACUUGAUUUGAAUUUUGUUUUUGUGUUGUACUGACUUGUUUAUGUUUUGUUGAUAUUGUUGCAUGUCACUGCAUAGUUCAAAGAGUGUCGAUUCAAGUUCAGUUACUAAAUUAGAAAACCGUUAUGGCAAACGAAUUUCUGGAUAAAGUGGAGGAUAACGCCAUUGUCAGUAUAUGGUCAGAGAAUGUGCAAUUGGAAAAAGGAGACAAUUUAUCUAAGGGAUACGUGUCAGAGCUUUGGGACUACACUCGUAUUAGUGUGACACAAAAUAGCCUUCAGGAGUUAAAUGAGAUUUGGGAUCGGUGGAAUGAUGAAACCAAGCAGUUGUUCUACUCUAAUUACGGGGACUUGCAGUACUUACUUAAAAUCAAGGUGGAUGAAAGACUGUUUCGCGCUCUCGCUCAAUAUUGGAAUCCUGCAUAUAGUUGUUUUACUUAUGGGAACGUAGAUUUGGUGCCCACAGUGGAGGAAUAUACAGCUUUACUACACUGCCCUAGGCUUCAGGUUGAUAAAGCAUAUUCUAGAGCCGCAUAUGUCCCAGCGUUUUGGAAGAAAUUAAUGAGUAUUACCGGAAUGAGCGAAUAAUGGAUCACGGCCAAGAUCAAACAGAAGGGCGAGUGUAAAUGUAUCCCAUGGAGGAAUUUGCGAGACUUGAUCCUAGCACAUCCUGAUGGGAAAAAGAAAGUUGAUGUGUUUGCUUUGAGUAUCUACGGGUUAGUGAUUUUCCCUAGAGCAUUGGGGCAUGUUAACGAAGUGGUUUCAGAUCUUUUUGAUCGGUUGGGUAAAGGGGUCAAGUCUGUUCCUGCGAUUUUGGCUGAAACGUUUAGAUCUUUGAAUGCGUGUAGGCAUGCUGGUGAAGGCAGAUUUAUAGGUUGUGCGCAAUUGUUGAUAGCUUGGUUCCAUAGUCAUUUCUUGAAGGUCGACAAAGUUUCGUAUCGGGUUUUCUCUGGGCAUUACUCCCCGUUAAAAGAGAUAGUGGCUACGCCAAGAAAGGACGAUAUUUCAGAAGAAAAUUGGAUAGCAAUUCUGUAAAAUCUUCAAGAGGAUGAUGUGGAGUGGAGAGCUCAUUGGUUGAUUCCUGAUGGAAUUCUCUACCGUUGUGAAAGCUUUGACUGGGUUUCGUUGCUUGGGAUUUGGGGAGCCGUCGGGUAUGCACCUUUGCUGGUCCUAAGGCAAUACAAUUCAAGACAGUUUGUGCCGGCAAUGUAUGGUUUAGCUCAAUGUGAGUUCUUGUACCGAGGAGACAAUUACAAGAAAAAGGUGAAAGAAAUUUCUCAGGCUUGUAAUGAGGUUCAUAGGAUGAAAAGGCUAGCUAUGGGUUCGAUGACAACUCCAGAGUAUGGUGAGUGGCGACGUAAAAUAAUUAAUGAUAGCAUUCUGGAGUUAAACUUGGAGGGUGUUCGACUAAUGGAAGAGUACCUACAAGUGAUCCCAUCAGAGUUGGAGAUUAUAAAACAAGAUUUUGAAAAGAGGAAUUUAGAACUUGAAAAGAAAAUAGAGCGGUUGGAAGAAGAGAAGAUGCAUUUGAGGCUAGAUAUUGACGUCCAAAAGUUAAAAGCUGAAAAAUUAAAGAAGUGGAAGAAUAAAGUAGAGGAGGAUCUGGAUAGCUUAAAGACGGACUACAAAAGGCUACGAGUAUCAAUGAGAACUGCUGGGCUGGGAAAGAAUUCAGAGCAGUGGCGACAGGAGAUCUAGGAAGAAAGAAACAAAGUCGAUCGGUGGGAAAGAAAGUCCUGGGAGGCUCAAGUUCAGAACGAGACCUUAGAACGGCAUGUGUUAGAAACUCAAAACUAUUAAGUGGACUUAAAAGCUAGAAUAGCAGAACUAAAGAGAUCACUUGCUGCGUAUAGAAGUCGUAAUUCUGUAGUGGAAUUAAAGAUAAGUCUGUGCAAGAUUGAAGAAAUGAAAAAGAGGAUAGAAGAAUUGGAGUAUGCAUUACAAGGCUGUAAAAAACGGAUCGAAUCCUUGGAAGGAAAUGAAGAGCGUUAGAGGGAGCAAAUUUAUCAUUCGCAGAAUCAAAUUUAGAAUAGAGAUUACAUUAUGGGCAGAGCUAUUGCUCAGAUUCGGGAGGUAGGUGAUCAUUUGCAAACAAUGGCAAUUCAGGCUGACGUGUUAAACGUAAAGUAUGAACUGGAAUCAGAUCGAGGGCAGGAGUUAGCUUCGCUGUUGAAGGAAGUUAAAGCUUUGAGUAUUAGGGCAAAGGCAUACUUGUAAUUCAUUUUAUGUAAAGAAUUUUGUUUAUCAAUAAAUUUUUCUAAAGGAAAUUGGAUCAGAAUCGACGCUCUUUUUGCAUUGAUUUCAUGCAUUUGCAUUACAUGACAUCAUAUGCAUUCAAGACUAUUAAGAAGAGGUUUUAAUUGGUUAAAAUUGUGCUUCAGUUAAUCUGGAAACCAGUAAAAAUUCAUCAAUCAAGCACCACUACGGUACCCGUGCGAAAUCAAAAAUUAUGGAUCAAAGAUUGGAAAAGCUUGAGCGCUUUCAAAAGGAAAUGCAAGAUCAAAUGAAAGAACAAAUGGAAAAGAUUCAGCAUGACAUGAUACAAAAGAUGCAGGAGUCUUAAAAUGACAUGAUGACUAAGUUGACGCAAUUAAUAACCAGAGGAGUAGAUAAAGGGAAAGGUCCUGUGAUUUGUAAUGAAGAAGAAAACAAUGAUGAACCACUUUUUCCUCCAGGUUUUACGCCUCCGCACGCGCAAGUUUAGACUGAACUGCAUCCGCGGAGACCUUCUGUUUCGAUUAGGCCUCAGCAUUUUCAAGGGGAUGUUUCAAUGCCGAAGACCUUUCAGGUCGGAUCUGGCUCUAAUCUUGGUGAUAAUUUGAAUAAUAUUGUUGUCCCGUAUUUCGAUAAAGUAGCUGAGAAGGAUAAGGUGAAGGAAGAGUUUCCAAAGCAGUUUGAGGAGAAAUAGAAAUGGAUUGAAGAGAAAUUUAGAACGAUGGAAAGCAUUGAAAGCUAUGGUGGAAUAGAUGAAAAAAAUCUGAGUCUGGUUUCGAAUUUGGUACUUUAUUACAAGUUUAAGAUGUCAGAAUUUGAGAAAUACAAUGGGACCAGUUGCCCUGAGGCCCAUAUCACCAUGUUCUGUAGGAGAAUAACGGGGUAUAUUAAUAAUGACCAAUUAUUAAUACAUUGCUUUCAGGAUAGUCUUACAAGGGCGGCGUCAAAAUGGUAAAAUCAGCUGAGCCGAACCAAAAUCGCUACUUGGAGGGAUUUGGCACAGGCUUUCAUGAGACAGUACAAUCAUGUAUUACAAAUGACGCCUAAUCGAAUAACUUUACAGAAUUUGGAGAAAAAAUCAAACGAAAGCUUCAGACAGUAUGCGCAGCGAUGGAGGGAAAUCGCAGUUCAGGUUCAGUCAGCACUUGUGGAAAAGAAAAUGACAAUGCUUUUUAUCAAUACAUUGAAAGCCCCGUUCAUUACUCACAUGUUGGGAAGUGCUUCAAAGAACUUCUCGGAUAUAAUCAUGAAUGGUGAAAUGAUUGAGCAUGCUAUUAAGAGUGGAAUAAUAGAUGGAGGGGAGAAUAAUAGAAGGACAGCCCCAAAGAAAAGAGAAAAUGAAGUGAGCAAUGUGAGCGGAUACGGCAGGUCAAUUACGGUUAAUCAACCAGGAAAGGCAGUUGCUAAUCAAUAAAGCUCAUCAAGACAAGAAGUAGGAGGGAGGUAAAACACUAAAAAACCCUAGUUUACGCCAAUUUCGAUGUCAUACGAGGAGUUAUAUCAGAAUUUAUUUAAUGCAUAUGGUGUUUCCCCUCAUUAUUUGACCCCUUUACAACCCCCUUAUCCCAAAUGGUACGAUAUAAAUGCACAAUGUGACUAUCAUGCGGGAAUCUCGGGGCAUUCAAUAGAGAAUUGCAUAACUUUCAAGAAGGUAGUGGAAAAACUCAUCCGCAUGAGUGUUGUCAAAUUUGAUGACUCACCUAACGUAGAAAAUCCGUUACCUAAUCAUGCUGAUAAGGGAGUGAAUAUGAUGGGUGAAAGUAUGGGAGAAAAAGUCAAGAAUGACAUCGGUGAAGUAAAAACUCCAUUGAAACAAGUCUGGAAAGAGAUGGUGAAAAGAGGACUAGUCAUUUCAGAUUUUGAGGAAGAAGAUGAGGUUGAAAAAUAUUGUGAAUUCCACCGUGAAGUAGGACAUGAGAUUCAAGAAUGUGAAGAAUUUAAAGCUCUGGUCCAAAGCAUGAUGGAUAACAAGGAAAUGAAGUUCUAUGAGGAAACAGAGGAAGAAAGAAGCAUAUGCGCGUCGGAAUCAACAACGAAGAUUUCAAAAAUAAAUCAUCCUGUGGUCAUUAUUUCGCACCCUAAGAACAGUAAGGCUAAGGUCUAGGUAACACCAAAAAUUAUAAUCCAUAAGCCGUCAAAUUUCUCAUAUAAAGAUAGUAAAAUGGUUCCGUGGAAGUAUGGAUGCAAUGUGACAAUCUCAACGUUUUUAUUUUUGUUUUAUUUUUAUUUUACAUUAAUUUUACCUAUUCUUUAAUUAAAAAAUUUAUAAUGACUUAGAGUUUAUUUAAUAGAGUUUUUUUUUAUAAUCGGUCUUAUAAUAAAAUUUUAUAAGGUGGGACCAAGUCCCACAGUGACAACAUGAUCCCUCAAUUUUUGGUGGUGGGAUGCCUUUAGUCAAAGGAUCAACUAACAUCUGCUCAAUGCUAAUGUGCUCAAUGACCAAUUUCUUUUCAUUAACAUGUUCCCUUAUGCCUAGGUACUUAAAGUCGAUAUGUUUACUUCGACUUCCACUUCUUUCAUUCUUAGCCAUAAAGACAGCAGUUGAAUUGUCACAAUAUAUGAAAUAAUCAAAACCCAUAAUGACUCAGCCCAAAAAACUCGAGCUUCAAACCCAAAUUAAAUUAAAUCAAAACCAUAAUUUAUUAUGUACAAUUGCACAAAAUUAACAUAAUUUAAGUGUGUCAUACUGCACAUUAAAUUAAAGUUUACGUUUGACAUUAUAGAUAAUAUUCACGUGUAAAAUUUUGAGAUUUAUUCCUUUCAUUAAAGUAAUAUGUCAAAUAGAAUACUUGAACAAUCCUCCAUGUUGGCAAAGUUUAUGUACAGUAGUAGAAGUGAACUAAAUAAUUAGAAUAAAUCUAAAGUAUGUCUUACAUAUAAUUUAUUCACAAUGUGACUUAAACUUUGUCCUUCAAGAUUUCACGGUCUCAAUUUAUGUCUUAAAAUUUUAAGAUCAUUUUAGGUUUGUUAAAAAAUUAAAAUUUUAGAAAGUUAGAAUUGUUGCUUGAGGCGUGAAUAUUCUUAUUCUUUAGGAUAUUUGUGGAUUUACCAUCUCUUAGGAUUUCGUUUGUAUCAUGCACAAUGAAAAAAUUGAAAAAAAAAUUUCCCAUUUGAAUGGAAUUGAGCUAUUAGGCUCAAGCCUAGUGUGCGCAUAUAUAUUCUCUUAUUUUGAGUCUUACAAGUUUAUAGUAAACCAAAUCUAUAUAAACAUCAUUUAAUAGGUCAAUCUAAAAUAUGUUUAAUAUGUGUAAUUCUUUAAAAUAGAUGAAAACUUCAAAUAUGGUUUAGGUCAUUUUCAGAUUUGUCUUAUUUUAGGUUCAAAUCAUUCGAAUUUGAGGCUAAGUUUUCCAUGUCUAAUCAUUAUUGAUCCGAAUCAUUUUAGAUUUUGAUCAUUUUAAGUUCCAAUUAUUUUGUGAUCAAAUCAUUUCAAGUUUAGAUAAAUUUGGGUCAAUUCGAAUUUGACUUAAUUACGUAGUUAACUUUUUUUUAUAAUAAAUUGAGCUGAAUGAAAGUUAGAUUGAAAUUUAUUUAGUGUGCCUUUGUGUUUAAGUCGAAAUUUAAACAUCUUCCUUCAAAAUAAACAUGUUAAGACAAUUUUAUUUUAAAGACAAUAAUACAACAUAGUUGAUUUGGGAGAUAAACAUGUUAAUUUUUUAAUCCCAACCAAAAUUGUACAUAAUUCUUUUAUGUCAUAUUAAAUACAUGUAACGUCUUAUAAAAAUUGUCAAUAAAUUAUGCCUAGCGACAACGUUAUUCAACUCUAAUUUCAUUGUUAAUACCUAUUUCUAUUUUUCUUCUACUGUCUUCAACUUUAAAUAUAAAGGGAUUGAAAUUUUAAGAAUUGAGAUUUCUUUUCUCUGUAUUAGUGGACGUUUGAUUUUUUGUUUGAUUGUUUUCUUUACUGGAAUUGACACAUAUCUUUUCAGAUUUAUCAAUAUUUUUAAAAUUUAUUUAAGAUAUGUAUAUAAAUAUAUUACAAACGUAAUGGCCCAAUAUUGCCCGGCCCGAUAAUAAAAAAUGAUAAAAUAAAUAAAGGUCCAAUGUCCAGCUUUUACAAACCCAAAAUCAAUACGGCCCAAUUAGCCUAAACCCAAUUAGCUUUAACCCAACUUAGCCCAAGACUCUCCUUAAACCCUGAAAACCCUAGGCAACAGGAGCCUCCUUCCAGCGCCGCAACCAUCAGCUGGGCUUCUCCAUGCACACGCUGCCACGCACAUCUCCGUACGGCCACCUCCGUACCUCCAGGCUGGCCGAAUACCUGUAAAAAAAACGCACGGAAACAACAGCAAAUAGAAAAACAACAGCAUAGGGGUGAAUUUUUAAUUAUUUUUUCAUUUUAUUUUCUGUAAAUCGGGAUAUAAGAAAGCCAUUCGAAUACUAUAACGGGAUUUACGCAUUCAAUAUACAAAGAAAUUGAGAAUACAAAAGAAUCAAAAAAGCAGAGAAAGGUGAUUUUCUAGGUUUUUUAUUCCUUUCUAUCUUGUUGGUUACUUGAUUCUUUUCUUUACUUUUUUAAUUUGUACGUUCAUCAAUCGUUGUUUAAAAAAGAAAUAGGAAAAAGAAAGGGAGGGAAACGUACCUGGUAGCGCGACCCUGGCUCUCUCCGGCGUCAUCGGAGCAGGGGCUGGGAUCAAUGACUGCUCGAAUACUUUCAAUACCUAGAGCGGCGCUGAGUUUUUUUUCGUUUAGGUUUUUGUUUUAAUGUAAAGAUAGGUUUUUAGGGUUUAUUUAGUUUUAAGUGAAGGAAUUAAAACGUCGACGUUUAAAGUCGAUGCAAUGACUUUGAAACAGCGUCGUUUUAGAGACCAGAUCCGAACGGUGACUUGAUCCGGGAAGGAUCCAUGCAUUAUGGAUCAUUUGGUCUAUUUGUUCAAUAGAUCCCUCUAUGUUUAAUGGAAUUGCGAUUUGAUUUCUUUUAAUUGUUUGUAAUUUGUACUGCAUAUUUUGUUCUGUUUUCAUUUAGAUCCAGAUUGAAAUGGUAUCGUUUACUGCGUUUGACUUUGAUUAUUCGGAGCUUUUGGGUUUAAUUGUCGAGUCAGUCCUCCAAUUUUGAAAUAAAUUUUAAUUUAACAUGAGUUUAGCCUUUUAAAAAAGAAGAAGAAGAAAUCAAUAGCAUUUUUUAAUUAUAAUUAAUCCUAUUUUCGUACAUUAUAAAACCUAACAUUAUUUGUAAUAUUUGAUUUUUAUGUUUUUAAAUCUACAAUUAUUAUAACUUAAGAUAUAAUAGAUCAUUGUUUUAGUUUAUAUCCUAUACUUUAAAUUUAUUAUAUAAUAAUAUUUUGAAUCUACCAUAUUUAUUUAAUUUUGUCUUUUCCUUUUGGUUCCAUUUUAAGUCCCGAUUUUAAAUUUAUUAAUAUUUUCAUUAUAAUUGUUGUUAUUACUCUUCUAAAUUGUUUUACUAUAUUUAAUUUUCUCUUCAAAAAGUGUUUUUUAAAACAAAUUAAUUCUUAAUUUUAAUUCAUUUUCUAACAUUAUUUUGGUAUUUAGUAUGAUAUUAUUUUCAAAUUUAUUAUUAGUACAUUUUUUAAAAUAAUACAUUAUUUUUUUAAAUUAUUAUCAAUAUGUUUUAUUUUAUCAAUAUUAGUUUAAAAAUAUAUAUGAUUUAUAUGAAAUUAUUCUAGUAUAUAUGUAUAUAGAUUACAUCAUUAACUUUAGAUUAACCUCUUUUACAUAAUUUUUUUAAAAUGUUUUAUUCCUUAAACCUUAUUUAUUUUAUUUGUUUUAUAGGUUGUUAAAUUAUUAAUAUGGAUGUUUGUAUGACAUGAUUAAGAUCAAUGUUUAUAUUUUCCUAUUAUUUGUUUAAUUGCUUCUAGUUUAAGUUUAAGUUGUUAUUUAUCUUUUAUAUAUCGUUAUUUAAUCAUGUUUUAUUUGUAAGAAUUGAAUUUUAUUAAAGCAUCAUAAUUCCUAAAAAAGCUUGGUGUUUAAUAGUUCUCAAGAGAGUUGUGCCCUAACUUACUGGGCUUCAAUUCUUCUCGAUGAAUUUAUAUCAUCAAGUAUCCACUUUAUACAAUUUUAAAAUAAAAUUCUUUAGAUUUCAAAAUGUGGGAUCCUAGCUUACUGGAUACGACAUUUUGUUAUCUCGAUGUUAAAAUAAAUGCAAUAUUUGAUGUUUAAAAAUUUCAAGAAAUCGAACCCUAACUUACUAGAUUCUGAUUUCUCGAUUGACUUAAAUAGUCAAAUAUCCUUCUUAAAACAUGUUUAAAAUUUUCAAAAAAGGGACGAACUUAACUUCGAAGAUUGAACUGUUGCACUCUAACUCACUGAGUGUGGCGAUUUGUUUCUUUGAAAUGGGUCCGUCCACUUAACCAAUUCAAUUGUUUAAGUUUUCAUUUCAUGGGAUCGUAUUUAAAAAUCUUUUCAAGUUUCGACACUAAGACAUUAAAUAACCAAUUCGGUACCAAUUUUGGGCGUUACGAGGGUGCUAACCCUUCCUCGUGUGUAACCGACUUCCGAACUUAUCUUCUCAAAAUUCGCAGACCAAAAAACUUGUUUUCAAGGUGAUCCGAUCACACCUCAACAAAAAUCGGUGGCGACUCCAAUUUUCAUUUUUUAAAGUCGACUACUAAUAAAUUUUUGUUUUCAAAAAAUGAUUUCGACAACAAAUAUAAAAUAAAUGAAACUAAAUACAUUUCAAAUAUAAAAUAUUCAAUAAUAAACUUAACAAAUAAAAAUUUAUCAUUGAAAUAAAUCCAAAAUUAUUAAUAACAAUCCAUCAUUUAAUAUGAAAUUUUAAAGAUUUAGCUCAUUUACUUAAUAAGAGAAGCUGAAAGGUGAACGAAUAUAUAUUUCUUUUAGAAUCAGGUGAACGGUUUUUUCUUAACUAUAUUUUGAAUGUGAAAGUAUAUUCCAUUUUUUAAAAACUUUACAUUUCCAUGUAGCAUUUUUAGUUAGUUACGUUUCAAUUAAGUUUUUAGCAUAAUAGUAAAUAAUUAAAAGUUUAAUAUUUUUAAUAUUAUUCAUGCACAGGACGGUGCAUUAUGUUCUGGUAGGUGUGACAGGAAUUGAUCGGAAUGAGUUGGUGCAAUUGGUACAGACCGAAAUUUUGACCAGUGUAGAAAAAGCGUGUUGGGUGUUUUGCAAUGUUAUUAAAACCAAACUAAACAGACCAAGAACCGAUGAACCUGAGGACUAGAGUAAACUGUAGUUAAACUACAAAUCAUCAGUCGAUUAAGCCGUAUUUAAACAUUUUCUAAACUUGAAAAAUAAAAAAUUCACAUCAAAUCCCUUGAGCUUUUGUCACACUUCUUAUCUGCACUCAAUGAAAUAAAACACAACAAAAAAUAAGCACCAUUCCUUUUAUUACUUUUUCUACUAAAGUAAGUUUUUUUUUCUCGUAAAAAACCUAAGAUGGACUUAUAACAUUCAAUCAAAGGAAAAACAAAUUAGGAAAGUAGAAAGAUGGGGAGAGAGUUUUAAAAUUCAAAGCCUUUAAAAUUGAUAGAUGAGUUUGGGGUUAUUAAUAUUAUUUUAUAUUGUUGAAUAGAAAAUGAAUUGUAUUGGUGGUUGAAUGUGUGAGAUUAAGAAUUAAUGAUUUGAUUAAUUUGAUUAUCAAUCUAAUUUUAUAAAUAGUAAUAUUUCGAUAUAAAAUUGAAACAGUAGACACAAAUGAGCAUAACCGAAAUCUGUAACCACCUUAAUUUAAUACAUAAUUUGAGAUUCAUAUAAAAUAUUAUCUUUGAAAUAUAUUGAAAGAGGAAAGUAAUCGUACGUAAAUGCAUAACUUGGAAGAGAUAAUGAAGCAGGAAUCAUUAUAUUAACAGUGGUAUUUUCUCGAUGUACGGCUGCACAAUAUCUUGACCUGCAUUUCUCGUUUGAUUCUUUUCUUAAUUAGCUAAACUCAUGUUAACAAUGGUAUAACAGUAAUUAAUUACUUCAUGGACAGAACAUCAAUAUAUAAAUACCCCAUAUAUAAUAAGCAACAACGUAUCAAAAUACACCAAAUAAUGGGAACUGGAGAACGCCCAUUUAUACAAACAAAUAUAAGUAGGAAAAAUCAAUACUCAUAAUAAAGACACAAAGAGGACUAAAAACCUUAUUAAACUAGAUCCAGUAUGUAGCAUAACAGAAAAGGGGGCAUUUCAAGGAGUAGAACUAGAAGGUGGUGGAGAAAAGAAAGGAAUAGAGGGAACUGCAGCUGGGAUUGAGGGAAUGUUUGGAAGAGGCGGCAGUCCUCUUGGCAAUGUGGUAGGAAGUGGAGGAAGCGCCCCAGGGUUUGGGAGAUAAGGGAAAGAUGGCAAUGGUGGAAAAUAGAAAGGAAUAGGGGGAACAGCAGUUGGGAUUGUGGGGACUGAGGGAAUGCUUGGCAGAGGGGGUAGUCCUGUUGGCAAUGUGGUAGGAAGUGGAGGAAGCGCCCCAGGCCAUGGGAAUGAUUGUCGGGAUGGCGUUGGGAGAUUAGAGAAAGAUGGUAAACUUCGCGGUUGAGGCUGCUGCAGAAGGUGACGAGCUGCUACCCCAACAUCAAUGCUUGCAAAUGACAAAGCAAUCAAGAAUGCUAAAGCAAGGCAAUUGAAAGAGGCCAUUUUUGUUCAGAGAUUUCGAAACAAAUGAAGCAGAUGAAACAAAGUUCUUUAUCUGAAUAGUUGUGGGUGAAGAAAACAAAGCACGGUAUUGAGGUUUAUAUAGGCAUUGGAGCAAUGAAUAGAAAUCCCCUGCCCCUAAACAAUGCCCCAUGCAUGCCCCCAAACCAAAAUAGCGCCACAUGUUUUUUAUUUUUUUCCAUUUUAGUUGUAGUUCAUUUUUUAAAUAAAAAUUUAUAAUGAUUUGGAUGAAUUUUUAACUUAUUAUCAACGUUUUUGUUUUUGUUUUAUUUUCUAUUAAUUUUACCUAUUCUUUAAUUAACAAAUUUAUAAUGACUUGGAAUUAAUUUAACAGUGUUUUUUUUUAUAAUCGUUCUUAUAAUAAAAUUUAAAAAGGUGGGAACGAGUCCCACAAUGACAACAUGAUCCAUGCCUUUAGUCAAAGGUUCAGAUAACAUCUGCUCAGUGUUAAUGUGCUCAAUGACGACUUUCUUUUCUUUAACAUAUUCCCUUAUGGCUAGAUACUUAAAAUCGAUAUGUUUACUUCGACUUUCACUUUUGUCGCUCUUAGCCAUAAAUACAGCAAUUGAAUUGUCACAAUAUAUGAAAUAAUCGAAACCUAUAAUGACUCAGCUCAAAAAACUCGAGCCUCAAACCCAAAUUAAAUUAAAUCAAAAUCAUAAUUUAUUAUAUACAAUUGCAUAAAAUUAACAUAAUUUAAGUGUCAUAGUGCACAUUAAAUUAAAGUUUAUGUUUGACAUUAUAGAUUGAAGCAAUAUUCAUGUGUAAAAUUUUGAGAUUUAUUUCCUUAAUGAAAGUAAUAUUUCAAAUAGAAUACUUGAACAAUCCUCCAUGUUGGCAAACUUUAUGUACAUUAGAAACGAACUAAAUAAUUAGAAUAAAUCUAAAGUAUGGCUUACAUUUAAUUUAUUCAUAAUGUGACUUAAACUUUGGCCUUCAAGAUUUCACGGUCUCAAAUUAUGUCUUAAAAUUUUAAGAUCAUUUUAGGUUUGUUAAAAACAUCAAUAGUUUAGAAAGUUAGAAUUGUUGCUUGAGGCGUGGAUUUCCCUAUUCUUUAGGAUAUUCGUGGAUUUACUAUCCCUCAAGAUUUAAUUUGUAUCAUGUGCAAUGAAAAAAUUGAAAAAGAAAAUUCCCAUUUGAAUGGAAUUGAGCUAUUAGGCUCAGGCCUCGUGUGCGCAUAUAUAUUCUCUUAUUUUGAGUCUUACAAGUUUAUAGUAAACCAAAUCUAUAUAAACAUCAUUUUAUAAGUGUAUCUAAGAUAUGUUUAAUAUGUGUAAUUCUUUAAAAUACAUGAAAACUUCAAAUGUGGUUUAGGUCAUUUUCAGAUUUGUCUUAUUUAGGUUCAAAUCAUUCGAAUUUGAGGCUAAGUUUUUCAUGUGUAAUCAUUAUUGAUCCGAAUCAUUUUAGAUUUUGAUCAUUUUAAGUUCUAAUUAUUUUGUGAUCAAAUCAUUUCAAGUUUAGAUAAAUUUGGGUCAAUUUUGAAUUUGACUUAAUUACGUAAUUAACCUUUUUUAUAAUAAAUUGAGCUGAAUGAACUUUAGAUUGGAAUUUAUUUAGUGUACCUUUGUGUUUAAGUUGAAAUUUAAACAUCUGUAUUAGAAAUACACAUGUUAAUACAAUUUUAUGUUAAAGACAAUAAUACGACAAAAUUAAUUUGGGAGAUAAACAUGUUAAUUUUUUAAUCCCAACCAAAAUUGUACAUAAUUGUUUUAUAUCAUAUUAAAUACAUGUAACGUCUUAUAAAAAUUGUCAAUAAAUUAUGCCUAGCGACAACGUUAUUCAAAUCUAAUUUCAUUGUUAAUACCUAUUUCUAUUUUUCUUCUAAUAUCUUCAACUUUAAAUAUAAAGGAAUUGAAAUUUUAAGAAUUGAGAUUUCUUUUCUUUAUAUUAGUGGACAUUUGAUUUUUUGUUUGAUUUUUUUUACUAGAAUUGAUGCAUAUCUUUUCAGAUUUAUCAAUAUUUUUUAAAAUUAUUUAAGAUAUGUAUAUAAAUAUAUUACAAAUAUAAAAUGAAUGAAACUAAAUACAUUUCAAAUAUAAAAUAUUCAUUAAUAAACUUAACAAAUAAAAAUUUAUCAUUCAAAGAAAUCCAAAAUUAUUAAUAAUAAUCCAUCAUUUAAUAUGAAAUUCUAAAGAUUUAGCUCAUUUACUUAAUAAAAGAAGGUGAAAGGUGGACGAAUAUUUUUUAUUUGAUAAUCAGGUAAAUGGUUUUUUCUUAAUUAUAUUUUGAAUGUGAAAGUAUAUUCCAUUUUUUUUUAAAAUUUACAUUCCGAUGUAGCGUUUUUAAUUAGUCACGUUUCAAUUAAGUUUUUAGCAUAAUAGUAAAUUAUUAAAAGUUUAAUAUUUUUAAUAUUAUUCAUGCAUAGGACGGUGCACUAUGUUCUGGCAGGUGUGACAGGAAUUGAUCGGAAUGAGUUGGUGCAAUUGGUACAGACCAAAAUUUUUACCAGUGUAGAAAAAGGGUUUUGGGUGUUUCGCAAUGUUAUUGAAACCAAACCAAACAGACCAAAAACCGAUGAACCCGAGAACUAGAGUAAACUGCAGUUAAACUGCAAAUCAUCAGCUGAUUAAGCCGCAUUUCGCAUUUUCUAGACUGGAAAACAAAAAUUUCACUUCAGAUCCCUUGAGCUUUUGUUACACUUCUUCUCUUAACUCAAAAUAAAACAAACCAUACAAAGAAUAAGCACUGUUUCUUUUAUUACUUUUUUAUUACUCAGUGAAAAACCUGGACUUAUAACAUUCAAUCAAAGGAAAAAAAAGACAAAUUAGGAAAGAUGAAAGAUGGGGAGAGGGUUUUAAAAUUCAAAGCCGUCAAAAUAGAUGAGUUUGGGGUUAUUAAUAUUAUUUUAUAUUGUUCAAUAGAAAAUUAAUUGUAUCGGUGGUUGAAUCUGUGAGAUCAAAAAUUAAUUAAUUGAUUAAUUUAAUUAUCAAUCUAAUUUUAAAAAUAUUAAUAUUUCGGUAUAAAAUUAAUACAGUGCACACAAAUUAAUAUAACCGAAAUCUGUACGAAACCGAGCACCUUAAUUUAAUACAUAAUUUGACAUUCAUAUAAAAUAUUAUCUUGGAAAUAUAUUGAAAGAGGAAAGUAAUCGUAUGUAAAUGGAUAACUUGGAAGAGAUAAUGAAGCAGGAAUCAUUAUAUUAACAGUGGCAUCUUCUCGAUGUACGGCGGCUCACUAUUUUGACUGCAUUUAUCGUUUGAUUCUUUUCUUAAUUAGCCAAACUCAUGUUAACAAUGGUAUAACAGUAAUUAAUUACUUCAUGGAUAGAACAUCAAUAUAUAAAUACCCCAUAUAUAAUAAGCAACAACGUUUCAAAAUACACCAAAUAAUGGGAAUUGGAGAACGCCCAUUUAUACAAACAAAUAUAAGUGGGCAAAAUCAAUACUCAUAAUAAAGACACAAAGACGACUAAAAACCUUAUUAAACUAGAUCCAGUAUGCAGCAUAACAGAAAAGGGGGUAUUUCAAGGAGUAGAGCGAGAAGGUGGUGGAGAAAAGAAAGGAAUAGAAGGAACUGCAGUUGGGAUUGAGGGAAUGCUUGGCAGAGGCGACAGUCCUCUUGGCAAUGUGGUAGGAAGUGGAGGAAGCGCCCCAGGGUUUGGGAGAUAAGGGAAAGAUGGCAAUGGUGGAAAAGAGAAAGGAAUAGGGGGAAUUGCAGUUGGGAUUGUGGGGACUGAGGGAAUGCUUGGCAGAGGGGGCAGUCCUGUUGGGAAUGUGGUAGGAAGUGGAGGAAGCGCCCCAGGCCAUGGGAAUGAUUGUCGGGAUGGCGUUGGGAGAUUAGGGAAAGAUGGUAAACUUUGCGGUUGAGGCUGCUGCAGAAGGUGACGAGCUGCUACCCCAACAUCAAUGCUUGCAAAUGACAAAGCAAUCAAGAAUGCUAAAGCAAGGAAAUUGAAAGAGGCCAUUUUUGUUCAGAGAUUUCGAAACAAAUGAAGCAGAUGAAACAAAGUUCUUUAUCUGAAUAGUUGUGGGUGAAGAAAACAAAGCAUGGUAUUGAGGUUUAUAUAGGCAUUGGAGCAGUGAAUAGAAAUCCCCUGCCCCUAAACAAUGCUCCAUGCAUGCCCCCAAACCAAAAUAGCUCCACAUGUUUUUUAUUUUUUUCAUUUUAAUUUUUUAAAAUAAAAACUCUGUAAUGAUUUGAAUUAAUUUUUAACUUAUUAUCAACGUUUUUAUUUUUGUUUUAUUUUUAUUUUACAUUAAUUUUACCUAUUCUUUAAUUAACAAAUUUAUAAUGACUUAGAGUUAAUUUGAGAGAUUUUUUUUUUAUAAUUGGUCUUAUAAUAAAAUUUUACAAAGCAGAAACAAGUUCCACUGUGAAAACAUGAUCCUUAAAUUUUUGGAGAUAACCAUGUUAAUUUUUUAAUCCCAACCAAAAUUCUAAAUAAUUCUUUUAUGUCAUAUUAAAUACACGUAACGUCUUAUAAAAAUUGUCAAUAAAUUAUGCAUAGUGACAAGGUUAUUCAAAUCUAAUUUCAUUGUUAAUACCUAUUUCUAUUUUUCUUCUACUGUCUUCAACUUUAAAUAUAAAGGGAUUGAAAUUUUAAGAAUUGAGAUUUCUUUUCUCUGUAUUAGUGGACGUUUGAUUUUUUAUUUUAUUUUUUUAUUGGAAUUGAUACAUAUCUUUUCAGAUUUAUCAAUAUAUUUUAAAAUUUUAUAAGAUAUGUAUAUAAAUAUAUUAAAAAUAUAAAAUGAAUGAAACUAAAUACAUUUCACAUAUAAAAUAUUCAUUAAUCAACUUAAGAAAUAAAAAUUUAUCAUUCAAAUAAUCCAAAAUUAUUACUAAUAAUCUCAUUUAAUAUGAAAUUUUAAGGAUUUAGCUCAUUUACUUAAUAAAAGUAGUUGAAAGGUGAAUGAAUAUUUUUUUUAUAAUCGGGUGAAUGGUUUUUUUCUUAAUUAUAUUUUUAAUGUGAAAGUAUAUUCUAAUUUUUUUUAAAAACUUUACAUUCCGAUGUAGCAUUUUUAAUUAGUCACGUUUCAAUUAAGUUUUUAGCAUAAUAGAAAAUAAUUAAAAGUUUAAUAUUUUUAAUAUUAUUCAUGCGCAGGACGGUGCACUAUGUUCUGGCAGGUGUGACUGGAAUUGAUCGGAAUGAGUUGGUGCAAUUGGUACGGACCGAAAUUUUUACCAGUGUAGAAAAAGGGUGUUGGGUGUUUCACAAUAUUAUUGAAAGCAAACCAAAAAGACCAAGAACCGAUGAACCCGAGAACUAGAGUAAACUGCAGUUAAACUACAAAUCAUCUGUCGAUUAAGUCGUAUUUUCACAUUCUUUAAACCGGAAAAACAAAAAUUACACUUCAAAUCCCUUGAGCCAUUGUUAUACUUUUUCUCUGCACUCAAUGAAAUAAAACACAACAUAAAAAAAAUAAGCACCAUCUCUUUUAUUACUUUUACUACUAAAAUAACUUUUUUUUUCUUGUGAAAAACCUAAGAUGGACUUAUAACAUAUAAUAAAAAGGGAAAAAAAAGACAAAUUAGGAAAGAUGAAAGAUGGGGAGAGGGUUUUAAAAUUCAAAGCCGUCAAAAUAGAUGAGUUUGGGGUUAUUAGUAUUAUUUUAUAUUGUUCAAUAGAAAAUUAAUUGUAUCGGUGGUUGAACCUGUGAGAUCAAAAAUUAAUUAAUUGAUUAAUUUAAUUAUCGAUCUAAUUUUAAAAAUAUUAAUAUUUCGGUAUAAAAUUAAUACAGUGCACACAAAUUAAUAUAACCGAAAUCUGUACGAAACCGAGCACCUUAAUUUAAUACAUAAUUUGACAUUCAUAUAAAAUAUUAUCUUGGAAAUAUAUUGAAAGAGGAAAGUAAUCGUAUGUAAAUGGAUAACUUGGAAGAUAUAAUGAAGCAGGAAUCAUUAUAUUAACAGUGGCAUCUUCUCGAUGUACGACUGCUCACUAUUUUGACUGCAUUUAUCGUUUGAUUCUUUUCUUAAUUAGCCAAACUCAUGUUAACAAUGGUAUAACAGUAAUUAAUUACUUCAUGGACAGAACAUCAAUAUAUAAAUACCCCAUAUAUAAUAAGCAACAACGUAUCAAAAUACACCAAAUAAUGGGAAUUGGAGAACGCCCAUUUAUACAAACAAAUAUAAGUGGGCAAAAUCAAUACUCAUAAUAAAGACACAAAGACGAUUAAAAGCCUUAUUAAACUAGAUCCAGUAUGCAGCAUAACAGAAAAUGGGGUAUUUCAAGGAGUAGAGCGAGAAGGUGGUGGAGAAAAGAAAGGAAUAGAGGGAACUGCAGUUGGGAUUGAGGGAAUGCUUGGCAGAGGCGGCAGUCCUCUUGGCAAUGUGGUAGGAAGUGGAGGAAGCGCCCCAGGGUUUGGGAGAUAAGGGAAAGAUGGCAAUGGUGGAAAAGAGAAAGGAAUAGGGGGAACUGCAGUUGGGAUUGUGGGGACUGAGGGAAUGCUUGGCAGGGGGGGUAGUCCUGUUGGCAAUGUGGUAGGAAGUGGAGGAAGCGCCCCAGGCCAUGGGAAUGAUUGUCGGGAUGGAGUUGGGAGAUUAGGGAAAGAUGGUAAACUUUGCGGUUGAGGCUGCUGCAGAAGGUGACGAGCUGCUACCCCAACAUCAAUGCUUGCAAAUGACAAAGCAAUCAAGAAUGCUAAAGCAAGGCAAUUGAAAGAGGCCAUUUUUGUUGAGAGAUUUCGAAACAAAUGAAGCAGAUGAAACAAAGUUCUUUAUCUAAAUAGUUG
Molecule: long non-coding RNA, 74669 nt
Filed under: Gossypium barbadense (sea-island cotton)
Lineage: Eukaryota; Viridiplantae; Streptophyta; Magnoliopsida; Malvales; Malvaceae
Description: long non-coding RNA (GBAR_LNC022198)
Rfam family: Plant small nucleolar RNA R71 (bases 38329-38435)
Source: RNAcentral